Molecule: long non-coding RNA, 66000 nt
Filed under: Triticum aestivum (bread wheat)
Lineage: Eukaryota; Viridiplantae; Streptophyta; Magnoliopsida; Poales; Poaceae
Description: long non-coding RNA (TAES_LNC018130)
Source: RNAcentral
CCUUUUGAGAAUGUACAUACCAACAAUGGUUGCUGCUGUUGUAUCAUCAAUAAAAAUUGAGCGCAGCGACGGUGAGCUCUUUAGAGAACUAAUUGUAAGCCAUCACUGAAUUCUCGUAUGGCAUUCAGUAUGAAAUUUUGUUGUUUUCGUUUGAUUAUUCCAUGAGCCGUAGCAGCCGUGCUCUUGCACUAUUGGUCCAUUCAGUGACAUCUUCAUUCAUGUGAAAAUGGAACCAUUUCUUCUCAUCGUUGGGAUAUUUUUCCGUCAGGGGCCUGGAAUGCAAAUUCGUUUUGAAAACUGCAAUAUGUGUUGUCUGUUGUGCCGAUGGUCUGGUGUUCGGCCUUCGGUUAGGCUGCCGAACAAAGCAUAUUGUACACAUAUUUUGGCCAAUCAGCUUCAGAAUUCUGCACAACAGCAAACCAGUCAGCAGGCACUGUCUCUCGCUGAUCCAAAAUUUUGACGUGCCAAUGGCCUGGAUUUUUAAACGUGUUGAGCAGCUUGAGCUCGUGUAGAUCUGUACUAAUAAGAGUUGAGGUGAGCAAUCCUAGCGAUGAGCAAAUGGACGGUGGAUGCUUUGAAUGGGCAUGACAUAUUUUCUAGGGAUUUUUACAUCGGUGCCCCUGGUUUCUUAGCUCCACUCAUCCAUCCCUACGCUCUUAACUUUUGCUUAGUUUUCCCCACUCCUUUGCCCGAAACCCUCAGAAGAGGUCACAACGGACGUCGCUGUCGGGUUAGUGCUUUGACCGUUAACUCUGACGAGUGGGGCCGCGUUGGGGGUGUAGUUGUUCAACCGUUGGGCUGUCCCUUGCAUUAAACGCCUGCGCGCGCCGCCACGACAGAAGCCUGCUAUGCAUGCACCCAACAAACAUGCCUGCAUGCGAUGAUGCGCCGACCGAGCCUGCAUCCGUUGAUGCGUGCCGCCAUGAUGCACUGACCGAACCGCUUUCGUGCACGCCAGCUGUCACGCCCAAUAUGCGAUACUAUCCUAAAGAGACUCGAAGGCCCCACCAAGGAUAGAACCGCAUAUUGAAACGCUUUUGCAAGGUGGAUAUCAUUACAUCAACAUUACAUAAUAUUUGGGGAUACAUACAAGGCAUACCAAUGCCGCAAGAAUACAUCAAUACAUCAAUACAUAAGAACAACAUCCGACUACGGAUGAAACAUAAACAGAAACUCAAACGACAUCCACCCUGCUAGCCCAGGCUGCCGACCUGGAACCUAUCCCCUGAUCGAAGAAGAAGCAGAAAAGGAACUCCAAACAAGUAAACAUCGCUCUCGCGUCAUGAACAUCGCAAAACCUGUACCUGCAACUGGUGGUGUAGUAAUCUGUGAGCCACGAGGACUCAGCAAUCCCAUUACCAUGGGUAUCAAGACUAGCAAAGCUUAAUGGGAAAGGAAGGGGUAAAGUGGUGAGGUUGCAGCAGCGACUAAGCAAGUAUGGUGGCUAACUUACGCAAAUGAGAGCGAGAAGAGAAGUAAAGGAACGGUCGUCAACUAGCAAUGAUCAAGAAGUGAUCCUGAACUCCUACUUAUGUCAAACAUAAUCCAUAAACCGUGUUCACUUCCCGGACUCCGCCGAGAAGAGACCCUCACGGCUACACACGCGGUUGAUGUAUUUUAAUUAAGGUCAAGUGUCAAGUUCUCUACAACCGGAUAUUAACAAAUUCCCAUCUGCCACAUAACCGCGGGCACGGCUCUCGAAAGUUUAUACCCUGCAGGGGUGUCCCAACUUAGCCCAUGAUAAGCUCUCACGGUCAACGAAGGAUAUUCCUUCUCCCGGAAAGACCCGAUCAGUCUCGGAAUCCCGGUUACAAGACAUUUCGACAAUGGUAAAACAAAACCAGCAAAGCCGCCCGAUGCGCCGACAUCCCGAUAGGAGCUGCACAUAUCUCGUUCUCAGGGCAACACCGGAUAAGUCAAGCUACGAGUAAAACCAAACCUCGAGUUUCCCCGAGGUGGCCCCGCAGGCUGCUCGGUUCGGACCAACACUUAGAGAAGCACUGGCCCCGGGGGGGGGGUUAGAAUAAGAUGACCCUCGAGAGAGCGACUCCCUAGGGAAAAUAAAUAGGCUGGACAAAUGGUAAAACCAAGGUUGGGCCUUGCUGGAAGAGUUUUAUUCAAGGCGAACUGUCAAGGGGGUCCCAUAAAUCACCCAACCGUGUAAGGAACGCAAAAUCCGGGAACAUAACACCGGUAUAUCAGUAACUAGGGCGGCAAGAGUGGAACAAAACACCAGGCAUAAGGCCGAGCCUUCCACCCUUUACCAAAAUAUAUAGAUGCAUUAAUAAUAUAAGAGAUAUUGUGAUAUCCCAACAUAAACAUAAUCCAACAUGGAGCAAUCUUCAUCUUCACCUGCAACUAGCAACGCUAUAAGAGGGGCUGAGCAAAGCGGUAACAUAGCCAAACAACGGUUUGCUAGGAAUGGUGACAAAGGUUAGAGGUUCAUGGCAAUUUGGGAGGCUUGAAGAGCAAGAGAAUAGGUAGCGCAGCAAAGUGAUAGAACGAAGCAACUAGCAUAGCAAUGGUAGUAAUGAGAUCCAAGGUGAGGGUCAUCUUGCCUGAAAUCCCGCUAGGAAGAAGAACGAAUCCAUGAAGAAGAUGAAGCCACGAAGACGAACGAAUCCUCACGAUCGCAACGACACGGGAACUAUCGAGAAGAAGCACACAACAAGGUAAACACACCACGCAUGAACAAGGCAAGACGCUCAACCAAGAAUGAUGCAUGACGAGUCUAUAUGAAGCUACUCGUGGCAAGAGAUGAUGCAUACAAGAACAACACAUCAAGGCAAGUUUAAAUGAGGCCGGAAUCAACCUAUAACAAAUCCGGUAAAUCCUCAUAUGCAAAUUUCGAAAUUAGUCCAGAACUGAGCAAGCAUUAAGUUGAAGUUUUUAAACAGCAAGUUAAAAAGCACCAUGAAGAUCUACACGAAAUUCUAGUCAAGUUACAUAUAAAGUUCAUUAGAUUCGGAGCUACGGCCUAGAAGAUAUGAGCAAAACAAGUUAAACAUGGCAUUGAUGCAAAAUGCAUACAAACAUCAAGCAAACACCUCAAAACAAGGAUGCAAUAUGAUAAUAUGAGGCUACAUGAAAAACUAAGCAAGUUUCAUAUAGAGCACGCUCAAAACGGAGCAACGGUGCAACACAUACACUCCAAACAAUACAUAGCAACAAUCUGACGAAAACAGCAACUAGGCAUAUGGCAACCAUCAAAACAAUAUGCUACAGCAACUCAACAUGAAAACAAAAGGCAUGGGCAUGAAUCUACUCAAAGCAUAUAACAAAAGUCCCUUACUGACCAUAAGUCAAAAAUGAUCAGAAGAUAUGAUGGCAAGCAUGUAAACAUAGCAAGUUUCGUUAUCAGGUUUCAGACUUAGCAGAAAACAGAGCAUGGCAGGAAUAAUAAUAUGAAGGCCUCUUUGUGAGCUUGAUGCACUCACUACAGAGCAAUUCAUGACAAAACAAGAAUAACUACAGCAAGAUGGCAUGAUUAUGAAGCUAUCCAUGGAAAGAACAAAAGCAUAGCAUGUAUGGAUCAACUACAACAAGCUUGGCAAAAAUGAAUAUCAUGUUAAGAAUCUGCCAGAAAUAAUUUAUAGCAAAAGUAGAGCGAGAUUGAGUCAUGCUAUGGCACUCCAUAAUUGCAAACAAGGGCAGGAAUGGAUCAACUACAACAAUAGCUACAAAACAUCCUUACUGAACAUCUCCAAAAUAUGCAUGUAUCUCAAUGUAGCAUCAAGUUUACAUGGCAACAAAAUUACAGCAGACAAGGACUUAAGGAAAUCACCGUCCCUGAAAUCAGAAACAUUACGGAGCCUACUUUGCAUGCUUGUGCUAGUCACCACAGGGAUCACAAAAACACAUGGACUAUACCAGUGGAAAGAUGGCAUGGCAUACUUCAAAACACAUGUAGAGUUCAUGCUCAAAAGAUGCACAGAUUAAAUGAUACAAAAAUGACAAAUCUCCAAGUUCUGAUAAGAACCAGAGAAUAACAGCAACUAGCCCUCUUCCAACAGAGAUUUGGGCAUCAAGAUGACCUCUAAUGAACAUGGUGCAAUUGAACAAAAUGAAGAGCAUCACGAGGCGAACAAUUUGACAUAUUACACGCGCGAAUCGGAGCUACAUGCACAAAGUUACGAUGCAGAGAACAUGACAUGAUAAUGCAAACUUCCAGGACUUGGGCAAAAAAAACAACCUCGAGGGGGGCGAAGUCAACGCGGGCUCGGGGGAAGAAGGGAAGGACGCCGGCGGGGGAGGGGGCGCCGGAUCUGGCCGGCNNNNNNNNNNNNNNNNNNNNNNNNNNNNNNNNNNNNNNNNNNNNNNNNNNNNNNNNNNNNNNNNNNNNNNNNNNNNNNNNNNNNNNNNNNNNNNNNNNNNNNNNNNNNNNNNNNNNNNNNNNNNNNNNNNNNNNNNNNNNNNNNNNNNNNNNNNNNNNNNNNNNNNNNNNNNNNNNNNNNNNNNNNNNNNNNNNNNNNNNNNNNNNNNNNNNNNNNNNNNNNNNNNNNNNNNNNNNNNNNNNNNNNNNNNNNNNNNNNNNNNNNNNNNNNNNNNNNNNNNNNNNNNNNNNNNNNNNNNNNNNNNNNNNNNNNNNNNNNNNNNNNNNNNNNNNNNNNNNNNNNNNNNNNNNNNNNNNNNNNNNNNNNNNNNNNNNNNNNNNNNNNNNNNNNNNNNNNNNNNNNNNNNNNNNNNNNNNNNNNNNNNNNNNNNNNNNNNNNNNNNNNNNNNNNNNNNNNNNNNNNNNNNNNNNNNNNNNNNNNNNNNNNNNNNNNNNNNNNNNNNNNNNNNNNNNNNNNNNNNNNNNNNNNNNNNNNNNNNNNNNNNNNNNNNNNNNNNNNNNNNNNNNNNNNNNNNNCCUGGGCCCAGCGGGCCGCGGCGGCGGGGACGGCGGCCAGGACAGGUGGCGGCGUGAGGUUCGCGGAGGCGGCGGUUGGACAUGUCCGACGGCGGCGCAGACAUGUCCGGCGGCGCGAGGGGAGCGGAGCUAGGGUUAGGGUGGAUUUCAUCCGCGAAUUUCGGGGGAGGGGGUGUUUAUAUAGGUAGAGGGAGCUAGGAGAGUCCAAACGAGGUGCGGUUUUCGCCCACCACGCGAUCGUGAUCGAACGACCGAGAGCAUGGCAGGGACUUAGAGGGGUUUUGGGACUGUUUGAAGGGGGGUUUUGCUGCAACACGCAAAAGGACUUAGCGGAUGCCCGGUUAACCGUUGGAGUACCAAACGACCUCCAAAUGGAACGAAACUUGACCGGUGGUCUCCGGGUGGUAUACUAGGGCCACUUGACAAGCCUCGGUCCAUUCCGAGAAAGUUUGACACCCGCACACGAAAGAAAACAAGAGGGGUGCACCGGAGGAGAUAGGAGCGCCGGAUUGCAAAACGGACAACGGGGGAAAUACUCGGAUGCAAGAGACGAACACGUAUGCAAAUGCAAUGCACAAGAUGGCAUGAUAUAAAAUGCAGAUGAUGACAUGGCAAAAUGCAACACGCAAGCAAAUGACGUGGCAACGACAGCGAAUAACUGGCAGACACCUGGCGCAUCGGAUCCGGGGCGUUACAACAGCCGCCACGGAUGCAACGACAGUCGCUGCCGCUGGUUCCUCUCUUCUCGCACACUUGUCUCCUCGAUUUAGAACCCGUUUUGCUACGACAAAUAAAUUGAACAAAUAUGUUGUGGCUACAUGCACUAGCUAGGUGGCUACAUAUUUGUGGCUUGUGUAAGAAAAGAAGGGUUCGUUGUGGCUGCAUGCACUAGGUGGUUAGCGAGCUCUCUAAGAAAACAAUCAACAUACAUUUAGAUAGGGCCAUCAAGCCCAUAGCACGAUCACAUAGUUGAAACUAGGAGUAACAUCAUGAUAGAAUAGAUAGAAAACUUAAUAAAAGAACUUGAUAAGGGGUGGGAACCGGUAGGUUGGUCCGGUGUACUGCAUAGCUGAGGGAUGUGCAGAAGACGGAGAAGGGGUCGAAGAGCAAGGCAGAGGCAGAGGGUGGCUUAAAUAGCCGUAGUGCUACGUGUUAUUUGGCCGUGGCAAUAAUGGCGUCAAAUAUGAAGUUAGUAGCCCAUUUUCAAACCCACUACAGCAUUGGGAGUGUACACGCGUGGGAAACGGUGGUUUGAAAAGAAGAAGAAAAAGAAGCUAAUUGCAUGCAUGGGAAUCCGUGGUCAAACCCUAUAUUAUAUGAACAAAAAGAGACAAUUUUUGAAGAGCUUGUGGCCAUUUUGAAUGAUAAAAAUAAAUUUGGUCAUUUUGCAUGAUAAAAAGAGAUAGAGGGCUUGAAUGAUAAAAAUAUUUAGCCCUUAUAAAUUUGGUCAUUUUACAUUUGUAUAGAACAAAAAGAACGAUGCAAAAAACAGAGCAAACGAUGCAAAAAUACAGAGCCAGCACGUUCACAAAAAACAAAGCAAACGAUGCAAAAAAAAGACGCAAUUCGACGGCCCAACCAGAGCUUGGUUUCCUUUUGGGCCCAAUAACAACGUUUUUUUUCACGGAGUCAGUGGUGGGCGAGCAGCCGAGCACAACCAAUAGGAUCGCCUCUCGCGGAUCGCCCCAUGAUCCAACUAUGCGGAGCCGUCCUUGUGAUCCAACGGCGCGGAGCCUGCACACAGCCAGCCCACCUAGUUCCUUCUAGAAGGCCAGAUCUGAGGGCUGUCGCUUGGCGCGAGGGUGUGAUCGGACGGCUGAUGUUGGGAGCUAGGGUUAGGCGAAACCCCGCGGGGUUUAGAGGGGUUUUGAGCUGGUCAACGGGGUUUCGAAGGCUUUGACUGAACAUACCUAAUUUAAAAAAAUCGAAAAAAAUGAAACCUUCGCCAUUCGUCGUUUUAUAAGACAAACUAACAAGGAAAAAUACUAAACUUGGUCUAUGGUCAUUUUCAUGAAAAAAACCCUAGCUGGCAUGAUCGAGGUCAAAUGAGCACCAUUAUUUUAAAAAAAUACAAAACCUGCGCACAAUGUUGUCUUAUGUGACAUGUUACCAACCAAAAAUCAUAAACUUGCUCUAUGGUCAUUUUCAUGAGAAAACCUUCACACAUAUGAGCUAUCAUGUACAUGAUUUCAUAGAGUUCAAGGAGAGAAGGUGGUGUUACCUUCUUUUUUUGAAAAAUUUAAGAAAAAUAAAAAAAAUCACUAAAUCUUUAUUUUAAAGUGAAUAAGAAGGAUAUGAAGUUAGUUUUCCUUUUUCAUAUUUCAAAACGUGUUUUAAUAGUUUUUAUAUUAAAGCAUAUGUUUUCAAAAGAAAACGUAAAAAUAUGAAGAUUAAUUUAAAAAAUAGUGAGACUUCGAAUCUACACUAUGAAAAGUGAAUAUGUGUUAAUAAAAAAACAUUUGGUUCAUUUAGAGUAGGUUCAAAAAAACUUGAUUACAAAAGGGUUGUUUACCCUUGCCUGGGAGCUCAUUUGGAGCACAUUUUCUCAAAUUCAAAUUUAUUUGACCCAAAUGUGUUGGCGCGGACGUCGAACGGACGCCACGCGCGCCUUCUCGCUGUCCACCGCGUCCCCACUCGCGGCCGCCCACUCGCGGUCAGCUUAAUUUAUGACCACGGGCCCACGCGUCAGCGACGGCGGUCGCCCUUUUUUAAGCCGACCAUGCGGCGGGGCCGUCCUCAUCCAAACUCGCCGUCCCCAUCUGGGCAAGCUCGCUCCCCCGUCGCCGGCAAACCCUAGCAAAAACCCUAGCCAACCCUAGCCAAAUGGGGCUCUUCUCCAGCGCCGGCAGCAGCAAGUCCAAGGGCAAGGCCCCCGCCAUCCCUUUCCCCUCCGAGUUCGUACCGCCUCCGCCGGCGCCGGCUCGCCAGCAGAGGGUGCGAGUGAGCGUGCCAGUGCACCAGGCGGAGUGGCACUAGCAGCACCGCGUCCCUCUGCCGUACCCCGACGUCACCCUGCCAUACGACUGGCAUCUGGAUCCAGAGAGGAUCCCAGUGCCGGCGGCGCCGCGGACGACUAGGGCGCACGCGGAGGAGGUGCGGCACCGGCGGGCAAUGCUGACGCCGAAGCAGCCGCGACGCCACCUACGCCACCGACUCGCCUAACUGGGCGAGGUGGUUCGCCUUCGAGCACGAGGAGGCGAGGCGACGCGGCAUGCGGGAGGUCGACCGCAGCGUGCCACCGCCCCCGCUCAUCGUCCGGGAGGAAGACCAUGCGGCCCUUGCGGCGGUCUACCGCGAGAGCGAGGAGGACGAGCGGCACAGGGUGGAGGCGGUGGAGGAAGAGGAGACUCGCUACGAGGCGGCCAUGGCGCAGGCCCUCGCCCUCUCCGCGGCCGGCGAUUGCGUCGUGCCGCCGCUGGCCCCGCCGUCCCCUCCCUGACGGCUCGUCAAGGCCGACCCGGAGCCGCAGCCGGAGCCCGAGCCGGAGCCCAUCGCGCGCUUCUCCUGGACGAGAGUGGUGCGCGAGUGGGUGUCCGCGCCACCGGUUUGGAUGGGGGCGACCCCGGAGCAGGAGGCGGCGUACCUCGAGAUGUUUUGACGCCCCGAUUUGACCAUACACUAAUCAUGCACGCAAAUGUGUACGAUCAAGAUCAGGGACUCACGGGAAGAUAUCACAACACAACUCUACAACAUAAAUAAGUCAUACAAGCAUCAUAAUACAAGCCAGGGGCCUCGAGGGCUCGAAUACAAGUGCUCGAUCAUAGACGAGUCAGCGGAAGCAACAAUAUCUGAGUACAGACAUAAGUUAAACAAGUUUGCCUUAAGAAGGCAAGCACAAAAGUAGCAACGAUCGAAAAGGCAAGGCCUCCUGCCUGGGACCUCCAAACUACUCCUCGAAGCCGAACUCCAUGUAGAAUCAUCCUCGGGAUCUCUAGCUCCUAGACUCCAUCAUCUGGUUGCGACAACCAGAUAUAGAAAGGGAAAAAGAGGGAGAAAAGCAACCGUGAGUACUCAUCUAAAGUACUCGCAAGCAAGGAGCUACACUACAUAUGCAUGGGUAUAUGUGUAAAGAGCCAUAUCGGUGGACUGAGCUGCAGAAUGCCAGAAUAAGAGGGGGAUAGCUAAUCCUGUCGAAGACUACGCUUCUGGACACCUCCAUCUUGCAGCAUGUAGAAGAGAGUAGAUGGUAAGUUCACCAAGUAGCAUCGCAUAGCAUAAUCCUACCCGGUGAUCCCCUCCUCGUCGCCCUGUUAGAGAGCGAUCACCGGGUUGUAUCUGGCACUUGGAAGGGUGUGUUUUAUUAAGUAUCCGGUUCUAGUUGUCAUAAGGUCAAGGUACAACUCCGGGUCGUCCUUUUACCGAGGGACACGGCUAUUCGAAUAGAUAAACUUCCCUGCAGGGGUGCACCACAUAACCCAACACGCUCGAUCCCAUUUGGCCGGACACACUUUUCUGGGUCAUGCCUGGCCGCGGAAGAUCAACACGUCGCAGCCCCACCUAGGCACAACAGAGAGGUCAGCACGCCGGUCUAAAUCCUAUGGCGCAGGGGUCUGGGCCCAUCGCCCAUUGCACACCUGCACGUUGCGAACGCGGCUGGAAGCAGACCUAGCCUAGCAGGCGUUCCAGUCCAAUCCGGCGCGCGCCACUCAGUCGCUGACGUCACGAAGGCUUCGGCUGAUACCACGACGUCGAGUGCCCAUAACUGUUCCCGCAUAGUUGGUUAGUGCGUAUAGGCCAGUGGCCAGACUCGGAUCAAAUACCAAGAUCUCGUUAAGCGUGUUAAGUAUCCGGGGAAGCCGACCAGGGCCUGGCCCACCUCUCUCCUAGGUGGUCUCAACCUGUCCUAUCGCUCCACCACAAAGUAACAGUCGGGGGCCGUCGGAACCCAGGCCCACCUCUACCGGGAUGGAGCCACCUGCCCCUUUAGCCCCCAUCUCCGAACAGUAUCAUAAGUAAUGAAACAGUAUCAAGUAUAUAGCAUAUGCCCGUGAUCACCUCCCGAAGUGAUCACGGCCCAGUAGUAUAGCAAGGCAGGCAGACAAGAGUGUAGGGCCACUGAUGGAAUACUAGCAUCCUGUACUAAGCAUUUAGGAUUGCAGGUAAGGGUAACAAGUGUAGCAACAAUGACAGGCUAUGCAGCAGAAUAGGAUUAACGGAAAGCAGUAACAUGCUCACUACUCUAAUGCAAGCAGCAUAGGAAAGAAUAGGCGAUAUCUGGUGAUCAAGGGGGGGCUUGCCUGGAAGCUCAGCCGAGAAGGAGGGGUCGUCAACACCGUAGUCGAACUGGGAUCGCCGACAGUGUCGGGGUCUUCCGGAAAGAAGUAACGGAGGGGGAACACAAUAAAUAACAGAGCAAUCAAAGCAUCACAAAGCAUAACAUGGCAAUGCGCGGUGCUAGGGGUGACCUAACGCAGUAGUAGGUGGUACCGGCGAAGGAGGCAAACAUCCGGGAAAGUAUUCCCGGUGUUUCGUGUUUUCGGACAGAUGAACCAGAGUGGGAAAGUUGCGUGUUCGCUAUGCUAGGGACGCGUGGCUCACAAACGGACUACGCAUUUAGAUUCAUCUCGUCGUUCUGAGCAACUUUCAUGUAGAAAGUAUUUUCAUCUGAGCUACGGUUAAUUUUAUAUUAAUUUUAAAAGAUUUAAAUCAUUUUUAGGAUUAAUUUAAAUAUUUUAAUUCAACAUUAUCCGGAACAGUGUCUGCCGACGUCAUCAUGACGUUAGCAGUCAACAGAGGUGUUGACUGGUCAAACUGACGUGUGGGCCCAGUGGGACCCACCUGUCAUACACUGUUAGGUUAAUUAGGGUUUAGGUUAAACUAAUUACUGUUUAUUUAAACUAACAGGUUAAUUAGAUUAAUUAAAUAGGAUAAUUAACUUAAUUAAUUAAUUAAUUAAAUUUAUUAUUAUUAUUAUUAUUUUCUAAAAACGUUCUGGAGCGGGCCCCUUGUCAUAGGCCCUAGGGGGGCUAGCGGGAAAAAGGGCAGCGGGCGGAGCCCCGUUAGCGCGGGGGCGCUGGCGGGCACCACGCCCAAACGGGCAAAAUCGGGGCACCGACGAGUGGCCCGCCGGAGCGCGGCCAUGAUGAGCCGGCCGCGGACGGCGCCGGCGAAGGGCGGCGGGUCGGCGAUGCUGGGCANNNNNNNNNNNNNNNNNNNNNNNNNNNNNNNNNNNNNNNNNNNNNNNNNNNNNNNNNNNNNNNNNNNNNNNNNNNNNNNNNNNNNNNNNNNNNNNNNNNNNNNNNNNNNNNNNNNNNNNNNNNNNNNNNNNNNNNNNNNNNNNNNNNNNNNNNNNNNNNNNNNNNNNNNNNNNNNNNNNNNNNNNNNNNNNNNNNNNNNNNNNNNNNNNNNNNNNNNNNNNNNNNNNNNNNNNNNNNNNNNNNNNNNNNNNNNNNNNNNNNNNNNNNNNNNNNNNNNNNNNNNNNNNNNNNNNNNNNNNNNNNNNNNNNNNNNNNNNNNNNNNNNNNNNNNNNNNNNNNNNNNNNNNNNNNNNNNNNNNNNNNNNNNNNNNNNNNNNNNNNNNNNNNNNNNNNNNNNNNNNNNNNNNNNNNNNNNNNNNNNNNNNNNNNNNNNNNNNNNNNNNNNNNNNNNNNNNNNNNNNNNNNNNNNNNNNNNNNNNNNNNNNNNNNNNNNNNNNNNNNNNNNNNNNNNNNNNNNNNNNNNNNNNNNNNNNNNNNNNNNNNNNNNNNNNNNNNNNNNNNNNNNNNNNNNNNNNNNNNNNNNNNNNNNNNNNNNNNNNNNNNNNNNNNNNNNNNNNNNNNNNNNNNNNNNNNNNNNNNNGAGGUAUGCCGGCGGGGUGGAAGACGAGGUGGAGGCGGCUGCGUCGCGGCGAGGCGGCACCGGGCGGCGUCGGCGGCCUCCUCCUCUCGAUCCCGAUCCAAUCGGGAGAGAGAGGGGGGAAGAUAUUUCGGGGGGUGUCGGUGGGUGAGUGGGGGAGUGGGGGGAGGUUAUGGGGUGCGGGGUGGGCCGGCCAGGUGGGUUGGCCCAAUGGCCUGCUGGGCCGGAGCCCCGGGGGUGUUCUUUUCCUUCUUCUUUUUUUGUUAGUUUUCUUUUCUGUUUUUGUGUUUUCUUUUCUUUUUAUUUAUUUUCUUUUUUGUUUUAAAACAUUUUAAAAUAUUUAGGCAUUUUCUAAAAAGGAGUUCUCUUCACUAUAAUUACCUAUGUAAUAUUAGGCACUACCCGAACAUUUUUGUUUUAACUUUUGAAAAGUUUGAUGAUUGACAUUAUUUAAAUUUUUGAAUUUGAAAAGUUUUGAUCCAACACGAGAUUAGCAACAGUAACCGCGGUGACGUGGCAUCAUUAACAUGGAAUUACUGUAGCUUAAAUAUCCGGGCGUCACAAUUCUCCUCCACUACAAGAAAUCUCAUCCCGAGAUUUAAGAGGGGAAGUGCCGAGGAAGGGAUUUGGUUAUGAAAUUCUAACGAGCGUUCUCGAUCUUGGUUGCUCUUCUCGAAGAGGUCGAUCCAUUACGUUGAGGUCUUCAUUUCUCUGCUUCAGGUCAUCAUGAUGAAGUCGGCAUCCUUUCUUUGGGAACGCCAUCGUACUUACAAAAGGAUAAAGAGGGAAAACUACAAGGACAGAUGUGUGCCAAGACUGAUAUUCGACAAUUAGCUCGAGGAUUUUGGCCCAAGGUAUCUCUCGAGUUGAAACUCAGGAAAAUAUUGAGAGCAAAGUAAGAAGGUACAAUAAGGAGUUUCAAGCGGCCAGACAAUCGUUCAAUGCCUAAUCAGAAGGUGAAAGGGUUUCAGGGAAACGGGAAUAAGUAUUGCGUCUGAUACCAAAAUAUAGCACUAGGAAGGUGGCUCGCGAAUUACAUAUGAAACCAAGCGCGAGGAAUGACUUUGGUAACAGGGGUGUUCAUGAGAGUCAGGUUUCGAUCCUGUGGAACUUGUGGGUUAUGGGCCCACCAUGUGGGUUGAAGGUAGAAAGGGCGUUGACAUCUUGCACGAUCAUGUAAGCAAGGCCAGUCAGAGGAUAGCCUGUCAGUUAUGUCGGCAACAACAUCGGUACCAAGGGCGAGGGACGAAGAGAACCAUUUCCUACUCGUUGAACGAGGUGGACCAAUAGGCAAAGUUCUCAUCCAUCGGUGGCUACCGGAAUGUCAUCAACAAUAGUAACAGGGUUACACCAGACAGGAUGGUACACCGAGGUGUUUACAUAAGUAGAGAAAUAUUACUGCUUAUAUCAUAUAGGUCACAAGAAAGGUUAACCAAAACAAUGGAAAGAAAAAUGUGAUUAUUACAUUAAUCAGACCAAUGGAAAGGAAAGGUGUUUAUACUAAAGUUUUAGAGUAUAUCUUUCCCAAGGAAAGGGCAAGAUAUUAAGGAUAGGGCUCCAAGUAUGUAACCAUUUAGGUAAGGGGGAGAGGAUUUUCAUGACAUUACCCAAACAACAGUGUUUGCAUAAUUGAUAAAGAGAAGUUAGCAUUGUGCUUCAAGUGUUCUUAUUGAAGAUAGGAGUACCAUACAUGCUUCAAGAUAGCAUUGACAUGCUCAUUGGGUAAAGAUCAGACUUUGGAUUCACAAAGGAUCCAUUAGGAGCAACUUAUAGAAUAAUUCUUACAAUUUCCUCAUGGAAGAAUGGCUAAACUUGCUAAAAAGGAUACUAUAACAAUAGGUCCUCCGCCCAGGUGUGCUAGGCAUGACAUCACCUUACCGGGUCUUAUAUAGACCAAUGCUAUAACUCUUGGAAAAAUGUUCCAACCAUCAUAUCUGACCGGGAUUCAGAUCUGAUUGGUGUUAGGAUACCUCAGACUCGGGAUGCCUGAGAAGAAAAGGUGCAACACAAUUGACGAGAUGCCAUUGUAAGAUUUUCAAGAAAUGAACUAUGGAAGCGAGUUCCGAAACAAGAGUUUAUCAUUAAUCCAAGGAGAGGAUGAGGAUGUGGCUGAUGGACUCAGCGAUAAUUCAACGAGAUAUCCAAAAAGAUGGAUUACCACAAUCAUGUGAACAAGGAGAUAACAUUUGUCAGAUCAAUUGAUAUAAUGAUGUAUGUUUGAGGAAACAUACACAAUUAAACAUUGGUUGAAAGGUGCACCCGAGAUAUGGGCUUAGGUAGGAACGAUGUUAGAAUGGUGUUUCAAUAACCGGUGGUCUAAUAAUGAACCGUCGACCAUUAACUUCAAGCAAUAGGGUUGCUAGAAGUUUGGAAUUACACCGCACAUUUCAUUUGUUGGUAUUCCGGUUAGCAACAAUACAGGGACCAAGAAUUGAACGGAGAUUGCGAGAAGUAUCACUUGAAUCAAGAAUUCUUAAGAGGUGGUGAAAUUCUCACGACAUUCUUGACAUAAAAGAUGGUAAUACUUCAAGGUAAAGAAGAACAAAUGAUGGGUAGCAAGGAACUCAAGGUAUAACACAAAAUACGAACAAGUUUGUGUUGAACGGAAGGCAUUAAAGUGGUUGAUGAUUAACACAAAACAUCAAGGGCAAGGAUGGUAUUUCUCAACAUGGAUUCAAUCGAUAUCCUUGAAGAGCUCGGAAUGUUGAUGAUGAUCAUGACACAUUUGUCGAGAGGUUUCAUGAAGAUAUAAUCGCUCAUCAACAACAUCAAGCAAAAGAAAGGAUGGAGCGAAAAGUUAUUGAAACCACGGAUACGACGCAAACUUGGAAUCAAGCUAGUUGUUCAAGGCGAAAUGAUAUGAUGAGGAAAAUCAACGUAAGAUUAGCUCAUCAUCGAAAAUUGUGCUCCGAGAAGAAGGACCAGGUAGCACAGUAAAAAGUUUGCACGAUAAUGAUAUAGCCGAUAAGGCUAGGAAUGACUUGAAGGAUUAUUAAACUCGUAAGCAACGUAAAUUACUUUGAGUUAUUGAAUCGGAGUGCGGAAUCGAUUCACUUAUCGGUGUUCUCGAGUGACUAAUAACUCAGAACCUGGGGGAAUCUGAAAUCGGUGAGAAGCAAUACUAGAUGAAGACUCGCAGGAAGAAACACAGUUCUCGAGACACUAGAAGGUAAUACUCGAGGAAGAUCAAAAUAAAGGUUGUGGAGAUGUAUCGAUCAACAAAAGACAAGUGCUUUAACUUGUCUGAGAAAUGGAAUCAAGGAGAAAAAUAUGGUCGGAACCACGAUUGCAAAGGAUCAAUACACAGAUACCAGACGAUAUCAUAUCAAGGAAAUAGUUAUUAUUACAAGAAGCUUCUAUGAUAGGAUCUACAUCGUGUCCAUGGGCAUGAACACAAAGUUCAAGGUCGACUCCCACUUCUCCAAUGCAUAACCUUUCAUUCACUUCUCAUUUUUCGAAGAAGUUGUAAUGUUUAAAUUUUAUCUAGCAAAACUCCAGAAGAGUAUGACUCGUGAUAGCUCUCGGGUUUACCCGGAUCUGGAAAGGCAUAGGUUCAACCCUUAGGGUCAUCUUGGGAACAUAUACCACAAGCUUCAAUAGUAAAUAACACAAGCUCGAUAGUAGAGCAUGGUUGACAAAAGGAGAGGAUACAAUUUACCGAAGGCAUUAUGUAUCAGGGAAAGAACUUCUCAAGGUUUUUGCAUAUGAAGGACACUGUCGGAUGAUAUUUCAACAAAGGAUCCGACGGUCCAUAGCGGAGCUGAUGUGAGUAUCGGCACACAACCAGAGGAAGAAAGAAUGCAAAGGCAUCAGAUUAUGGCAAUAUCUGGAUACUUCGAAGUUUUAAAAUCAAAGAACUUAUGAAUACCAGAUCGGUGUAUCAGAAUCAGAUGCCCUAAUCAAUUACGAGUAAGUUGAGUAGACUUAGAGGCACCAUCAGUCAAUGUUUGAAUGGCGGAAAACCAGCUCCUGUUCAAAAUGACAUCUGAGCCAGAAGGAUGAAUUUUAGGGUCCAAUUGAGGGUUGCGAGCAUUCGCAACAUAUUGAAUCAAGAGACUCGAAAUGAUAAUGACAAAGGAUACUAAAUGAAUGUUGCUCGUCUUAGGAACACAACCAAAAUGCAAGCACACAACUGCAGAGCAAUAGCGGGCAGAGGAUUACCAGAAGAUGAGAUAACAUCUUAAUGUAUCUUGUGCAUCAUAAGAACAACAGGGGAAGAACGGAUACUCGCAGGUGCGAGGAAUUAUCCGUAGGGGGUUUCAUGAGGCAAGAACUGCAGGGCAGUAAGCUCAAAAUAUUCUCGGAACAAUAGAGAGGAUUUCAAGUGAUCUUGUAAUAACAAGAUCAACUAGGAGUAAAAGUAAGGACGGCAGGUGUAAGUAUUUGUCCAUAGGGAUAUUUUGGUGGUAGGGAAUUGCAAAAGUAAUGGGCACAAGGUCUGGAGAGAAUAUCGGAGAUUAUCUUCGAAAUCUUCUGGUGCAGCCGGCAAUCAUUUGUAAUAAGGGGCUCUCCGGGAGGAAGUAGUUACGAGAACCUAGAGUCAGAUUUAGUAAAAUCAUUUAACCCGAAUAGAAGAGAGAUCAGAGUCCCAGAGUAUAGACGAGGAAUAAAAGAUCCUAAUACCACCCAAUGGUGACGUGGGCCCGUAAGACACACAGCCAUGCUAGUAAAAGUUUUGCAAUCUCUAGACUCGACUUCGGCCAAGGAGUGUGGAAGGGGGAUUCCUACAGGCAGUCGGCUCUGAUACCAACUUGUGACGCCCCCGAUUUGACCGUACACUAAUCAUGCACGCAAAUGUGUACGAUCAAGAUCAGGGACUCACGGGAAGAUAUCACAACACAACUCUACAACAUAAAUAAGUCAUACAAGCAUCAUAAUACAAGCCAGGGGCCUCGAGGGCUCGAAUACAAGUGCUCGAUCAUAGACGAGUCAGCGGAAGCAACAAUAUCUGAGUACAGACAUAAGUUAAACAAGUUUGCCUUAAGAAGGCUAGCACAAAAGUAGCAACGAUCGAAAAGGCAAGGCCUCCUGUCUGGGACCUCCAAACUACUCCUCGAAGCCGAACUCCAUGUAGAAUCAUCCUCGGGAUCUCUAGCUCCUGGACUCCAUCAUCUGGUUGCGACAACCAGAUAUAGAAAGGGGAAAAGAGGGAGAAAAGCAACCGUGAGUACUCAUCCAAAGUACUCGCAAGCAAGGAGCGACACUACAUAUGCAUGGGUAUAUGUGUAAAGGGCCAUAUCGGUGGACUGAGCUGCAGAAUGCCAGAAUAAGAGGGGGAUAGCUAAUCCUGUCGAAGACUACGCUUCUGGCCACCUCCAUCUUGCAGCAUGUAGAAGAGAGUAGAUGGUAAGUUCACCAAGUAGUAUCGCAUAGCAUAAUCCUACCUGGCGAUCCCCUCCUCGCCGCCCUGUUAGAGAGCGAUCACCGGGUUGUAUCUGGCACUUGGAAGGGUGUGUUUUAUUAAGUAUCCGGUUCUAGUUGUCAUAAGGUCGAGGUAAAACUCCGGUUCGUCCUUUUACCGAGGGACACGGCUAUUCGAAUAGAUAAACUUCCCUGCAGGGGUGCACCACAUAACCCAACACGCUCGAUCCCAUUUGGCCGGACACACUUUUCUGGGUCAUGCCCGGCCGCGGAAGAUCAACACGUCGCAGCCCCACCUAGGCACAACAGAGAGGUCAGCACGCCGGUCUAAAUCCUAUGGCGCAGGGGUCUGGGCCCAUCGCCCAUUGCACACAUGCACGUUGCGAACGCGGCCGGAAGCAGACCUAGCCUAGCAGGCGUUCCAGUCCAAUCCGGCGCGCGCCACUCAGUCGCUGACGUCACGAAGGCUUCGGCUGGUACCACGACGUCUAGUGCCCAUAACUGUUCCCGCAUAGUUGGUUAGUGCGUAUAGGCCAGUGGCCAGACUCGGAUCAAAUACCAAGAUCUCGUUAAGCGUGUUAAGUAAACGCGAAAGUCGACCAGGGCCAGGCCCACCUCUCUCCUAGGUGGUCUCAACCUGCCCUAUCGUUCCGCCACAAAGUAACAGUCGGGGGCCGUCGGGAAUGCAGGCCCACCUCUACCGGGAUGGAGCCACCUGCCCCUUCAGCCCCCAUCUCCGAACAGUAUCAUAAGUAAUGAAACAGCAUCAAGUAUAUAGCAUAUGCCCAUGAUCACCUCCCGAAGUGAUCACGGCCCAGUAGUAUAUCAAGGCAGACGGACAAGAGUGUAGGGCCACUGAUGGAAUACUAGCAUCCUGUACUAAGCAUUUAGGAUUGCAGGUAAGGGUAACAAGUGUAGCAACAAUGACAGGCUAUGCAGCAGAAUAGGAUUAACGGAAAGCAGUAACAUGCUACACUACUCUAAUGCAAGCAGUAUAGGAAAGAAUAGGCGAUAUCUGGUGAUCAAGGGGGGCUUGCCUGGAAGCUCAGCCGAGAAGGAGGGGUCGUUAACACCGUAGUCCAACUGGGGAUCGCCGGCAGUCUCGGGGUCUACCGGAAAGAAGUAACGGAGGGGGAACACAAUAAAUAACAGAGCAAUCAAAGCAUCACAAAGCAUAACAUGGCAAUGCGCGGUGCUAGGGGUGACCUAACGCAGUAGUAGGUGGUACCGGCGAAGGAGGCAAACAUCCGGGAAAGUAUUCCCGGUGUUUCGCGUUUUCAGACAAAUGAACCGGAGGGGGAAAGUUGCGUGUUCGCUAUGCUAGGGACGCGUGGCUCACAAACGGACUGCCCAUUUAGAUUCAUCUCGUCGUUCUGAGCAACUUUCAUGUAGAAAGUAUUUUCAUCUGAGCUACGGUUAAUUUUAUAUUAAUUUUAAAAGAUUUAAAUCAUUUUUAGGAUUAAUUGAAAUAUUUUAAUUCAACAUUAUCCAGAACAGUGUCUGCUGACGUCAGCAGUCAACAGAGGUGUUGACUGGUCAAACUGACGUGUGGGCCCAGUGGGACCCACCUGUCAUACACUGUUAGGUUAAUUAGGGUUUAGGUUAAACUAAUUACUGUUUAUUUAAACUAACAGGUUAAUUAGAUUAAUUAAAUAGGAUUAAUUAACUUAAUUAAUUAAAUUUAUUAUUAUUAUUAUUUUCUAAAAAACGUUCUGGGGCGGGCCCCUUAUCAUAGGCCCCGGGGGGCUAGCGGGCAAAAGGGCAGCGGGCGGAGCCCCGUUAGCGCGCGGGCGCUGGUGGGCACCACGCCCGAAUGGGCAAAAUCGGGGCGCCGGCGAGUGGCCCGCCGGAGCGCGNNNNNNNNNNNNNNNNNNNNNNNNNNNNNNNNNNNNNNNNNNNNNNNNNNNNNNNNNNNNNNNNNNNNNNNNNNNNNNNNNNNNNNNNNNNNNNNNNNNNNNNNNNNNNNNNNNNNNNNNNNNNNNNNNNNNNNNNNNNNNNNNNNNNNNNNNNNNNNNNNNNNNNNNNNNNNNNNNNNNNNNNNNNNNNNNNNNNNNNNNNNNNNNNNNNNNNNNNNNNNNNNNNNNNNNNNNNNNNNNNNNNNNNNNNNNNNNNNNNNNNNNNNNNNNNNNNNNNNNNNNNNNNNNNNNNNNNNNNNNNNNNNNNNNNNNNNNNNNNNNNNNNNNNNNNNNNNNNNNNNNNNNNNNNNNNNNNNNNNNNNNNNNNNNNNNNNNNNNNNNNNNNNNNNNNNNNNNNNNNNNNNNNNNNNNNNNNNNNNNNNNNNNNNNNNNNNNNNNNNNNNNNNNNNNNNNNNNNNNNNNNNNNNNNNNNNNNNNNNNNCGGCGAGGCGGCACCGGGCGGCGUCGGCGGCCUCCUCCUCUCGAUCCCGAUCCAAUCGGGAGAGAGAGGGGGGAAGAUAUUUCGGGGGGUGUGGGGGUGUCGGUGGGUGAGUGGGGGAGUGGGGGAGGUUAUGGGGUGCGGGGUGGGCCGGCCAAGUGGGUUGGCCCAAUGGCCUGCUGGGCCAGAGCCCCGGGGGUGUUCUUUUCCUUCUUCUUUUUUUGUUAGUUUUCUUUUCUGUUUUUGUGUUUUCUUUUCUUUUUAUUUAUUUUCUUUUCUGUUUUAAAACAUUUUAAAAAUAUUUAGGCAUUUUCUAAAAAGGAGUUCUCUUCACUAUAAUUACCUAUGUAAUAUUAGGCACUACCCGAACAUUUUUGUUUUAACUUUUGAAAAGUUUGAUGAUUGACAUUAUUUAAAUUUUUGAAUUUGAAAAGUUUUGAUCCAACGCGAGAUUAGCAACAGUAACCGCGGUGACGUGGCAUCAUUAACAUGGAAUUACUGUAGCUUAAAUAUCCGGGCGUCACAGAUGUGCUGCCAGCGUCGGCUCGCCGAGGAGCGCCGUCGCGGCGAGUACGAGGAGAUGCUCGAGCGCGACCUUGAGGAGGAGGAGGCGCGCCAAGCCGCGGCUGCACAGGCGGCCGCACAGCCCCCCGCGCCGGCACUGCCCCUGCCGGAACAGCUGCCCACGGACUACAUCGCCGCCGCAUGGAACACGGCGUUCCCCUGGGCCGGCCCUGCGCCGAUGCUCAUCGACCUCACCCACCCCGAGGAGGACGACGACGGCGCCUAGGGCGCGCUGGGCAGCGCUCCGCCUCGUAGGUAGGUUGUUUUUAAUUUCUUUUAAUGCUAAUGUGGACGCAUGGACUCUCGCCGGCCUUCCUGGCCGGCUUUAAUGUUUAAUUAAGUUGUUUUAUUUUAAAUAUGCAUGCACGGUUUUUUUUGUCGGCGCCGUCAAAAUGGGUCAGCUAACAGUCAAAGGCAUUGACCCGACGGCAAGGUCCGUUAUAACCAGUUAUGAGGGUUUCGGGCAAUGGAGUGGGGAAAAGUGAGCAAAAGUUAACAGAGUGGGGAUGAAUGAGUAGGGCUAAGGAACCAGGGGCACAGAAAUAAAAAUCCCUAUUUUCUAUCGGCAACGUCUUUUUUUUGCAAAGAUCAUGUCUAUUACAAAGAUUCUGAUACAAAGUACCUCAAAUAUAAUAAAGGGUCUGUCUAGGACACAUCUAGAUGUGACAUAGUUAUGUCACAUCUAAGCUUAUGUCAACUCUGUUUGUGAUUUUUUUGUCCUAGUUUUUUUUUCUUAUUGCUGCAUUAUAUAUUUGUGGGAGCUUAGAUGUGACAUCCUUAGAAAAUAUCUAGAUGUGAAUUAGACAAACUGUAAUAAAAAUGACAUCAAAGAUCAGAUCUAUUAGAAAGAUUCCGAUAGAAAGCACCUCAAACAUAAUAAAAAUGACAUCGAGGUUUAUGGACCAUCAAACGACCAUUAACCCCACCAAAACGAACUGUCGACACGCCACUGUCAUUGCGCCGGUGGACGUUCACGGAGAGCUGACCGAUACAACAAUGCUGGCAUCCAUGGACAAUAUUUGGGAAAUUAGACUUUUUUUCCAUCGGACUUGCUUUUUCUGGGACGCUAAAAUUUGGGCUACUGAUCCACCAUCCUCGUCCAGUAGUAUUUUGCAAAAGGCGGCUACUAGGCAUUAGGCGGCUGAUAUAGAAAGAUCGGUCGGCUGGCUAGCCGCGCAAUCACAGCUCACAACUGCCGAUUAGUCGUGUGUCAUCUCGUCCUUCCUCACACACAUGUGAUGGGGAAUGUUGCAUGGAAAACAAAAAAAUAUCCUACGAAACGCUCAAGAUCUAUUCUAUGGAGAUGCUAGCAACGAGAGGGGGAGUGUCUACAUACCCUUGUAGACCAAAAGCGUUAACGAUCUAGAAAUCAUGGUUGGCACGGUCGUACUCCCUUCGCGAUCCAAUCCUAUCCGGUGUCGGACGGACGGUACCUCCGAGAUGUGCACACGGCUCGAUGACGUCUCCGCCUUCUUGAUCCAGCAAGGGAGGGUGGAGAGGUAGAUAGGAUCUAGGCCAACACCAUGAUGUGAUGGUGGUGGUGGUGGUGGUGGGAGCGGAACUGCAGCAGGGCUUUGCCAAGCGCUACGCGAAGGAGAUGGGAGAGGUAACGACCAGGCAAAGGGGUGAGCCUCUCCCUUGCACCCCACCUUAUAUAGGGGUGUGGGAGGGGGCGGAUGCCCCCCCCUCCGAGCCAGGGGAAGAUGCCCCCUCCAAGCCGAGGUGUGGAUGCCCCCCCAGGACGCAUGGACCUGGUGGGGUGCAGCCCCCUUGCCCCAAGUAGGCCUAGGGCGCUUGUGGCCCUCUGGGCUGGUGGGCCCCUUUGGCCCCCGGAACCCUUCGGGACCUCCAGUACACUGCCGGCAAUUCCCCGAACUUUUCCGAUACUCCAGAUAUCACUUCCCAUAUAUAAAUCUUUAUCUCCGGACUAUUUCAGAGCUCCUCGCGAUGUCCCAGAUCGCAUCCGAGACUCCAAACUAAUGUCGGACUCACCAUAUGAAUAUCCCAAUACUACGCUAGCUUUACCGAACGUUAAGUGUGUGACCCUACGGGUUGGAGAACAUGCAGACAUGAAUGUGAUCCUCUCUGAUCAAUAAUCAAUAGUGGGACCUAGAUGCCCAUAUUGACUCCCACAUAUUCAAUGAAGAUCUUUAUCGGUUUGAACCACAAUAUUGAGGAUUCAGUUAAUCUCAUAUGCAAUUCUCAUUGUCCGGCAGUAUGUUACUUGCCCGAGAUUUGAUCGUCGGUAUCCCCAUACCUAGUUCAAUCUUGUUACCAGCAAGUCUCUUUACACGUUCUGUAAUACUCCCUCCGAUCCUUUUUAGUCUGCAUAUAAGUUUUGUCUGAAUUCAAUGUAUCUCUACUUUGACCAAACUUAUAGAAAAAAAAUCAACAUUCACGAUGCCAAAUCAACAUUGUCAGAUUCAUUAUGAUAUUUUUUUAAUAUAAAUUUGGUCAAACUUUGUAAAGUUUGACUUGACACAAAUCUAAUACGCUGAGUAAAAAGGACCGGAGAGAGUACAAGAUCCUCGUGACUAAACACAUUAAUCACAUGCUUGCAAGCUAUUCAUGAUGUUGUAUUACCAAGAGGGCCGAGAGAUAUCUCUCCGUCACAUGGAGCGACAAAUCCCAGUCUCGAUCCAUGCAAUCCAACAAACAUUUUCCGAGAUACCUGUAGAGCACCUUUAUGAUCACUCAGUUACAAAGUGACGUUUGAUAACCCACAAAGUAUUCCUCCGGCAUUCCGGAGUGGCAUGAUCUCAUAGUCUAAGGAACAGAUACUUGACAUGAAGAAAGUUGUAGCAAAUAAACCAAGUGAUCUGAUGCUAAGCUUGCGGUUAGGUUUGUCCAUCACAUCAUUCUCCUAAUGAUGUGACCCCGUUAUCAAAUGACAACUCAUGUCUAUUGUUAGGAAACCUUAAUUAUCUUUGAUCAACGAGCCAGUUUAGUAGAGGCUUACUAAAGACACAAUAUUCGUUUAUGUAUCUACACAUGUAUUUAAGUUUUUGAUCAAUACAAUUAUAGCAUGGAUAAUAAAUAUUUAUCAUGAACAAGGAAAUAUGAUAAUAACAUCUUUAUUAUUGCCUUUAGGGCAUAUUUCCAACAGUCUCUCACUUACACUAGAGUCAAUAAUCUAGUUUAAAUCGUAAUGAAUCUAACACCCAUAGAGUUCUGCUGCUGAUCAUGUUUUGCUCGUGGAAGAGGUUUAGUCAAUGGGUCUAGCACAUUCAGAUCCAUAUGAAUUUUGCAAAGCUCUAUGUCUCCUUCCUUGAUGUAAUCAAUGGUGAAGUUGAAACGACGUUUGAUAUGCUUGGUCUUCUUGUGAAAUCUGGGCUCCUUGCAAUGGCAAUGACGCCAGUCUUGUCAGAAUAGAUAGUCAUGGGAUCCAAUGCACAAGGAACCACUCCUAAAUUGGACAUGAAUUCCUUCAUCUAGACUCCUUCAUGCGCUCCUUCCGAAGCAACUAUAUAUUUCGUCUCACCUGUAGAUGCUGCUACCACACUCUGCUUGGAUCUACUCUAACUGACUGCUCCACCAUUUAAAAUAAAUACGUAUCCAGUUUGAGACUUCAAGUCAUCCGGACCAGUGUCAAAGCUAGCAUCGACGUAAUAGUUUACAACGAGCUCUUUAUCACCUCCAUAAAUGAGAAACAUUUCCUUAGUCCUCUUUAGGUACUUGAGGAUAUUUUUGAACGCUGCCCACUGGUCCACUCCUGGAUCACUCUGGUACCUCCCAACCAAACUUAUGGCAAGUUACACAUCAGGUCAGGUACACAACAUGUCAUACACGAUAGAGCCUAUCACUACAAAAAAAAGACACAUCCGUGACAUUUUGGGCCGAACGAAAUUAUUUUCUGUCAUACAUAUGACACUUCUAUGACGAUAAUUGUGACAAAACCCGGUAUCAUCAUAGAUGUGGUGGGCUCCUACUUCUAUGACAAAAAAUCAUGAAAGAAAAUGGGCUUUUCAUCCUGCGCGGGCCGGAGACGCAGCUGCAUGACAUUCUUUGGGCCGUCCAUGACGGAAAAAACCGUGGUAGAAGCGAGGGGGAGGAAAAUUUCGGGGAGUUCCCGGUUACGGUGGGAGGUCGGGGGCCGAGCGAUGCGCGUUUCUCUCGUACACGUACGCGCGUGUGUGCGAGGCGUUGGCUCUAACUGAAUCCGAGCGAGGCGUUGGGCUCUAAUUGAACCCGAGCGAUUGCACUGCAGGCUACGCGUUACUGAACCCGAGCAAUCGAUUGAUGGCUGUUAUCUGAACCCGAUCGAGCGAUUCCUUCGCUACUGCUGCUAACUGAAGCCGAUCGAUUGGNNNNNNNNNNNNNNNNNNNNNNNNNNNNNNNNNNNNNNNNNNNNNNNNNNNNNNNNNNNNNNNNNNNNNNNNNNNNNNNNNNNNNNNNNNNNNNNNNNNNNNNNNNNNNNNNNNNNNNNNNNNNNNNNNNNNNNNNNNNNNNNNNNNNNNNNNNNNNNNNNNNNNNNNNNNNNNNNNNNNNNNNNNNNNNNNNNNNNNNNNNNNNNNNNNNNNNNNNNNNNNNNNNNNNNNNNNNNNNNNNNNNNNNNNNNNNNNNNNNNNNNNNNNNNNNNNNNNNNNNNNNNNNNNNNNNNNNNNNNNNNNNNNNNNNNNNNNNNNNNNNNNNNNNNNNNNNNNNNNNNNNNNNNNNNNNNNNNNNNNNNNNNNNNNNNNNNNNNNNNNNNNNNNNNNNNNNNNNNNNNNNNNNNNNNNNNNNNNNNNNNNNNNNNNNNNNNNNNNNNNNNNNNNNNNNNNNNNNNNNNNNNNNNNNNNNNNNNNNNNNNNNNNNNNNNNNNNNNNNNNNNNNNNNNNNNNNNNNNNNNNNNNNNNNNNNNNNNNNNNNNNNNNNNNNNNNNNNNNNNNNNNNNNNNNNNNNNNNNNNNNNNNNNNNNNNNNNNNNNNNNNNNNNNNNNNNNNNNNNNNNNNNNNNNNNNNNNNNNNNNNNNNNNNNNNNNNNNNNNNNNNNNNNNNNNGGACCCCCGUUUCGACCGUAGGAGGUCUGUUUCCUCCGUUUUGCCGUACGCCACACCCCUCCCGAUCAACAGGACCCCGUUCCGAACGUAGGAGGUCCGUUUCCUCUGUUUUGCGGUACGCCAGGCCUCGUUUCCAUCGCCUGUUCCGUCCAAGCCCUCCCGAUGAACACGACCACGCAUUCCGUUCCGACCCAGCCGGUUGGCUCCCACGCGUUCCGUUGCCUCCCGAUGAACACGACGCAUUCCGUUGCCUCCCCAUGAACACGACGCAUUCCGUUGCCUCCCCAUGAACACGACGACGACGUUGUUUCUCCGUUCCGACCCAGCCAUGUACACGAGCCCUGGCCGUACGUAUGCGCGAGUAGGCGUUCGAGACCCCGCCCGUAUGUACACAUACGUGGCCAUAUUUUCUUUCUUGCACCCUGGCCGCUGUACGUACGUGUACAUGCUACGUGCGCGCCUCUACUACGACACGUGCGUGCCUAUACAUCGACCAGCAUGUACGUACACGUUCGCGACCAGAAUGACAACGCUACGUACGCUUCGACUAGGUGGGUCCCGACUGUCAGGCACUUCCUUGCUUGCGAAGAUGUAGCUGGUGGGUCCCAGCAGUCAGGGGGGUGAAUCGUUUUUUUUGCCCGGACGCACUUCCUUGCGUGCGAAGGUGUAGCUAGUGGGUCCCAACAGUCAGGGGGGCGAAUCGUUUUUUUUGCCCGGACGCACUUCCUUGAGUGCGAAGAUGAAGCUGGUGGGUCCCAGCAGUCAGGGGGAAACGUUUUUUCCAUGAAAUACAGUGGCCCGUCCGGUGGGUCCCAGCUGUCAGGUGCAGGAAUCUUUUUUUUCCGCGUAAUAAGGAGGCACUUCCUUGCUGCGGCCGUGGACCCAGCUGUCAACCUCUCCACGUGCAGUCCACGUCCGAUGGAAGUCGUUCCUUGACCACAUUGACCAGGCCGCGCCGAGAGCACCAUGGCGGUGGACGACGGCGAGGCCUAGGAAGGGGACGGCGUGGAGCCGGGGAAGACGCGGCAGUGGAAGCCCGCGCGGAAAGGAGUACGAGGGUUCACUGGUUCGGCUGCGGUGUGAGGCUACCGUCGCCGCAGGGCCUGGCCAGCGGUGGGAAUAGUAGGGGGCCGUGAGGCCUCUGCGGUAGCACAGCCGGCCACGGGAGGCAGGAGCAUGCGGCACGAUCGGCGCUGCUUUGGGCGGCUGGAGCAAGAAGACCAGAGGUUGAAGAAGCACUACGGCCGUUGGAUGGACAUCGUACGGUCACUGGAGCAAGAAUCGUUCAUAUUGACUAAGUUGACAAAGCCCUCCGUCCCCGUCAACUUAGUUGGCCCACAAGUCAUCCUCCCACUAUGGUGGGUCCCAGCUAGCAGGGGGUAUUCAUUUUUGUGUGCGUAAUAAGGAGGCACUUCCUUGCGUGCGAAGAUAUAGCUGGUGGGUCCGACAUGUCAGCGGGGGGAACGUUUUUUUCGCGAAAUACAGAGGCCCUUCUGGUGGGUCCCAGCUGUCAGGUGGAGGAAUCAUUAUUUUGCGCGUACAGUCCACGGCCGAUGGAUGUCGUUCGUUGACCAUGUUGACCAGGCCACGCCGAGAGCACCAUGGCGGUGGACGACGACGAGGCCUAGGAAGGGAACGACACGGAGCCGGGGAAGACUCGGCAAUGGUUGCCCGCGGUGAGGAGUACGAGGGUUUACUGGUCCGGCUGCCGUCGCCGGAAAAUAACAGGAGGUGUGGGUGAGUAGAGGAAUGGCCUGGCCAGCAAUGAAGUAGGGUGGGGCGGUGCGGCCUGUGCGGCAGCACAGCCGGCCACGGGAGGCGGGAGCAGGCAGUCCAACCGGAGCUGGUUUGGGCGGCUAGAGCAAGAAGAUUAGAUAUUGAAGAAGCAACACGGCCGUUGGAUUAACAUCCAAUGGUCACUGCUGCUAGAAUCGUUUGUGGACUAAGUUGACAAAGCCAAAGUACACGUCAACCUAGUAGACCCACAAGUCAGCCUCCAAAUCUGUCCCAAACAGCAUACAGCCCGAAAUUUCUAGCCAGAUUCAAAUUAAUUUUAAAUCUAAAUAUACCUUAAUUUAAAUUCAAUGAAAUUUUACCCGCACAAAAACAGUGAAAUUUAAAAUAUCAAAAUCCGAAAGAAAACAGUAUUUUGGAACUAAUUGCCUGUUUGCUGUAUUUUUUCAUUUUACAGCCCAUUUAUUAUUACUUAUAGCCCAUUUCUUAUUACUUAUAGCCCAUUUUCUGGGCAAAAUGCAUCCCUCCUCGUCUUGAAAGAUUUCCGGCCCAGCAGGGCGUAGAAAAGCAAGUAGGCCUACGUUGGUUAUUCUGCAAAAAACAAAAUAGCUAGCUAGCCAUUUUCAGAAAGGAAAAAAACAAACUGGGCUGGUCAUGUGCUAAACAUAUGAAAUAAAAGCCUGGGCUAGAUGGGCCACGGGUCCCGCACAACCCAGUUGAUACCCUUCUCCGUCCUGAAAAAACAAAAUUACUGCGCGCGCUGCUGGGUCCCUACUGUCAUCCUCACCAUGUACAGUCAUCUCCUUAUUGCUCUCGGCUGUUGACCAUAUUGACAACACCGGAGGGCGGCGCCGCGGCAAGCGAACCAAGGCGAAGGACGAUGGUGAGGCCUCGGACGGGAACGAACAGGAGCCGGGGAAGAUCACAGCCAGCCGUGGGAGGCGGGAGCAAGCGGUCCCGCCGGCGCUGGUUUGGCUUUGGCGGCUCGAGGAAGAAGAGACUGAAGAAACGCGACAGACGUUGAAUGUCAAUCCAACGGUCAAGGUUGGCACAAUCGUUUGUUGACUAAGCGGACACCAAGUAGCAUACUUUUUAUAUAUAGGAAGAAAACUGCGAGGAAAAUGCGUUCGUUUGUCCUCCUCCUCACAGGGAACGUUCGCCACAUAAGUGACUAGCACCCUUGGUUUUCAACUGAGAGGUCUUGGGUUCGAGUCCCAGGAACUCUCAAUUUUGUCCUCCUUCCUUCCUCGCAAAAAAGGGAAAGAAAAUCAAAGACUUGGGAAGGCGUCCAGAACAAGCUAGUGUACUAGUAAAGAGACGUUGCCGAGUUUUAGAAAAAAGAAAGACGUGCUCCUGUAGCUGGUUCGAAUCCAAACCUAGACUAUGACUAUAUAUGGUGCUAUGCUACUCUGCAAGUAAUGAAAUUGACAUAUCCAACGUUCGCUUCUCCUCUUCUCUACUUACUCUGCCUAGCAUCAGAAGCUCUAGCCGCAGCAACCAUGUCCGCUGGCUGCUCGUCCACCUGCUCUUCAGCAGGCAACAACCAGAUAUCUGCCAAGUCGCCACCCGUACCAUCGCCUAUGGGUCUCAUCACACCCACGCCGGCACGCGCACCACAGCCGAUUGCUCAUCACAAUCCGCUGCCGUUGGUGUGGUGCCACUGCUGCAAAUCAUGCAGAGUCAUCCGUCGCGUCUCAACCACAAUCCGCAACCCUGGCCGAGUCUUCUACAAAUGCCCGAAUCAUGGGGUAAUAAUAUGUUUAAGUGUUGUUCUGCUGCUUUCAGUUGCUGAUUUUUUUAAUAGUUUGGUUGAUGAUCUUCCAAUUUGAUUCGUGUAGAAAAGGGAAGAUUCGUGUGAUUUGUAUUUCUGGGAAGUUGCUGAUGUGGGGGAAUGCAACUAUGCUGAUUAUUUGGUUAGCCGAGGAAUCCCAAUACCAGCAGGUUGGGGUGUUGGACAAGUAACUGAAGGAACGGCAGAAGAGGAAGAUGCAGAGCAGAAGGUUAAAGAUGCAGUUCCUCUGAUCAUGGCCAAGCAACAGCUGCUGAACGACCUUGACAGCAAUGAGGAGAUGAAAGAGCUUGUGAAGAUAAUGGGCAAAAUCGAUGUGCUCUGUAGGAUGAUUGUCUCUUUAUUUGCAGUGUAUGUAGCACUCGUGAUGUAUUCAGUGGCUACGACAUGAGCACUUUGCUGAAACUAGUAAUGAAUGAAACCUGUGUAGCAGGCUGGGCGUAGUUUUGUGAACAUCUAAUGAUUUCUAUUAACGGAAAUCAGGGGGUAUCCCCUUUUGCUCAUAUAAAUAAAUAAAUAACAGAGGCCCUGUCAGGUCAGCUUUGUUCUCAUUCGAAGACGUCGAGCAAAUUGCAGUCCGACAGCAAACUAUGUCAUCAAAUUUAAGUUUCGCAGCCAAAUAUGAGUACAACUAAACAGCAAUGUCAUCAUGUUUUAGUUGUCAUACAAUCACCAAACACAAAUCAGCAUACAUAACAAGUGAUGUUCUCACAGCAAAAUACUAAACAACAUGUUCAUCAGGUUUCAGUUGUCAUAGCAAACACAAUUUCACAUAGUAGAUAAAAAAACGUCUUCUGACAGGCAAAUACGACAAAAGCAAUGUAAUCAUCAUCCGCAGCAGCAGCGUCAACAUCUUUGCCAUGUGUAUCAGUCUGAAUCGUAAUUCCCCAUGGUGUCAUCUUCUUCUUCGUCCUCAACGUCCUCGAACGUUGGCUUCUUCUUGAUCAACUCUUGUAUGUCCACAGCACGACAGGCAAUCUUUUCGCCGGCGUCAUUGACGUGAUGGUUCUCAAAGAUAUUAGGAACAUCUGUGUUAUCUUGUACAUCAGGAGCAGUGUAAGCAUCAUCUUGUUGUGCAACUUCAUUAAACGAAUUCCUCUGCUCAAACCUUUGCAAUACUCUCCAGUCAUCGCUACGUGCAAAUGUGUCUUCCAAGAAAAAUAUAUGUGUUGCUUGAUUUGCCAAAAUAAAAGGCUCGUUGGUCUGGUACGCCGCCUUGACAUUGAUGGAUUUGAAAUAAUCAUCAGCUCUGGGUUUUGCGAUCCCGGAAAACAGGUUAUACCAAGGACAGCACAACAGAACCACACACUGAUGAUCCUUGAAACUGGAGAUAUACUACAACUGAACAAUGUCUGUUAUGUUAGCAUACAUUUCAGUUGUCUCUUUGUCAUACGUAUCCGUGCUCAUGAUGGCACUGUUUUGUGUCUUCCUGCCUUCGUCUCGUGCAAGGGUGUUGUAGCGCACAUCUCCAACAACGCAAGAUUCAUAAUGUCUUACCCGAGUAUCAGGACCCAUUGCUAGUGAGUAAAGGGCAUCAUCAACUGCCUGCCCAUCCUCCCGCAUCUUCUUAACCUAUGGUUAUAAAAUAGACAAGUUGAUCAUCUUAUGUACUCAAUAUAUUAAAAAAACUGACAGUGCACUUCAAAAGCUUACAUGGUUCUUGAACCAUUUCGCAAUUCCUGCCAUAACUAGUUUGUCAAUGUUUCUUGGAUUUUGCGGCAGUAACUCUUCUUUGUAGAUGUUGCACAACAUAGUGAUCGCGUCAAACAUCUAAAUAUAUAAGAAUGUGCUGCAAGUUUAGUAGAUUACGAUGUAUAAGCUGCAGUACUGCACUUACUUGAUAUAAGGUAGUAUCUCAGGACAGUUAUUCAACACAUACCAAACCAUUUUGUCCAAAUCUUUAGGUUUGUCCUCUUGUCGACUCUUCCCUUAACUCGAACAGAAUAAUCAAAAACUUUGAGCCCGGGAUUGUCUUCACCCACCUCUUUGCUAAGCUGAUCAGCUGUUUCAAUGUAUUUUGAGCAGAAUGUCAACGCUUCUGUAGCAAUGUAGGCCUCUGCAAUGGAACCCUCGGGUCUAGCUCUGUUCCUAACAUAGCCCUUGAAAGUGCCUAGCCGCCUUUCAAUAGGGUACAUCCAGCCAUACUGUACUGGACCUCUAAGUAGUGCCUCAUCAGGUAGAUGAACAGCCAAAUGCACCAUCACAUCAAAGAAGGCUGGAGGAUAUAUCUUCUCAAGGUCGCAUAGGAUAGUUGGUAUCUUGUCUCUAAGACGCUCCAAAGCAUCUAUCCUGAUAUUCCUACUGCAGAGUUCCCUGAAGAAUUGUCCCAACUCUGCAACUGCUCUGUAUAAGUCAGGGCGGCCCAAUCCUCUAAGGAUAAUAGGUAAAACCCUUUGAAGUAGGAUGUGGCAGUCAUGAGCUUUCAACCCUUGUACCUUGUUUCCAUCUGCACUGACUCUCCUUUCAGGGUUGGAAGCAAAUCUAUGUGGGAAUCUCACACGUGACAGGACCUCGCAGAAUUCUUUUCUUUUUACCUUGUCCAAGACGUACACAGCUGGUGCCAUAUCCCGUGGUUUACCUUCAUCUUGCACCUGCAAAUCCUUUCUGAUACCCAGGUGUGUCAAAUCAAUCCUAGAUUUUAAGGUAUCUUUCGUCUUGCCUUCAAUAUUAAGAAGUGUGCCGAUAAUGCUGUCACAUAUAUUUUUCUCGAUGUGCAUCACAUCAAGAUUAUGCCGCAGAUCCAAAUCUUUCCAAUACUCCAAGUCCCACAAAGUGGACCUGCAGGUAAACAAUAAUCUCUCUUCUACCCUGCCACACUUCCUUUUCUUGCUACCAUUACCAGGAUGGUUUCUUGGUGUAAUAUGCCUGACCUUCUCUAAUUCCACUUGCAACUCAUCGGCGGUGAGCCUCUUUGGCGCAUCACGGUUUUCAUGCUUUGCAUUGAACACAUGUCUUCGGUAUUUUCUAGGAUGCGGCUUGUCCUUGGCAAGGAAACGGCGGUGUCCAAUGUAACAGAUCUUGCUAAGUAUUGCGUAUGACAGCGGAUUCCUGUCACAGCGAACACAUGCAUUGCAACCAUGUGUCGUUCGCCCUGACAUAGUGCCCAAAGCUGGAUAAUCAUGGAUGCACCAAAUUAUAAUAGCACGCAGAAAGAAAUCAGCUGGUGGGCUGCUAUAUAGGUCUCGAGUGAGAACACCAUUCCAUAGCUGUUGAAGUUCCUCCACAAGAGGCUCCAUGAACAAAUCAAAAUCCUUUCCAGGACUUUUUGGACCUGGGAUGAGCAAGGCCAUCAUGUAGUUUGAUUCUUUGGUGCAGACAUUUGGAGGCAUGUUGUAAGGGAUAACAAGCACUGGCCACAUGCUAUAUGUGGCGCUCUGGUGGCCAAAUGGGUUAAAUCCAUCUGAAGCUAAGCCAAGUCUAAUGUUUCUCGGGUCAGCAGCAAACUCUUUGUGUUUAUCAUUGAAGCUUUUCCACUCACUACCAUGAGAUGGAUGGCUCAUUACAUUCUGAUCUCUGUACUCCUGGUUCCUAGAAUGCCACAGUACAUCCUCUCUUGUUUCAGCAUCAUGAAACAACCUCUGCAAUCUUGGUGUAAUUGGAAAAUAUCUCAGAACAUUAUGAGGAAUCCUCUUCACAGCAUCACCAUCUUUCCAUCUUGAUGAUUUGCAUUUCGGGCAUUCACUUAAGUUGGCAUAAUCCUUCCGGAACAUAACACAAUUAUUCUUACAAACAUGGAUCAUAUCAUAUCCAAUUCCAACUGCACGAAGGAAAUUCUUCAUUUUACUGUAGGUGUGUGGCAGCUCAGACGCAUCUGGGAAAGAUUUGCGGAAAGCAGCCAACAUCACAUCGAAUGAUUUGUUGGUCAUCCGCUCAGAUGUCUUCACCUGAAGAAAGGUGACCAUAGCUGAGAAUACUGACAGCUUAUUUCCUGGGGUGACAGCAACGUUGCAUCGUUCCAACAUGCGGGCCCACCAUUUUUCUUCUGCAGGUGAAAGUUCACGGAAUGCACGAGCAUUUUGUAGCAUUGUUUCAAUGUUGGUCAAACUCACUGGCUCCGCCACCACCACCUCCUCCUCCUCUUCCACCUGAGCAUCAGGCAGAUCAAGAUGGUGAUCUGCUGCUUCCACGUAGUCAAUAACAUUAACGUUCACAGCUUCACCAUGAUGAACCCACCUAGUAUAUGUGACCGACAUCCCAUACAAGUGUAGAUGAUUUUGCACAGUUGACUGGGGUCUUGUAACUGAAUUCAUACAACUGCUACACGGGCAGAGCACAUCUGAUUUCAGACCACCGUACUCAGCUCUGAUAAAGUUCAUGAAGUUUUCAACCCCCUCGACAUAUGCAGCAGAGAAUCUUCGAGCAGAAGUUAUCCAAGUCAUGUCCAUCUGUUAGACAUACAAAUUAGUUCUUCUACUAGAUAUUAUAGGAAAAACAUAUAUGCUUUUUUAUGAAGUCCAGAAAAAAAAUACCUAGGUCGAUGUCUAAAGCUAUGGCAAGAUAUUUGGACGAGAAGAUCUAAGUAACGAAAUAUAUGUAAAGCUAAUUCAGCAAACAGAUUUGAGUGCCAAAUUAUGGCAGGCUGUUUCAGCAGUCAAUGAGGCUGAGCACACAACCAUCGAACUACCGAAGGCCAUCGCAGAAACAAAGAUCGAGUAUAAAACGGUGUAGAGCUAUUUCUCCUAACAGAUUGGCUACUAGACCAUGGCAAUCUAUGUCACAAUAAAUAUAUGGCAGGAUAUUUUAGCAACUAAUCGGCCUUGGCAUGCCAUCUCAGCUAAGCAGAUUGAGUGCAGAACAGGGCAAGGAAGCUUCUUAAGCAGAGCAUAUUGACAGUAAACUACUUCGGCAAACAGUGAGAUUAACAGCGUCUAUCAGCUAACAUUCAGCGCUACACCGACUUGAACGGGGCCUCAGUCUAGAAUGCGCGUACCGUGGGAGAAGCUGACCGCCGUGCGUCUCCACACGAACACCGCCAGCGGUGGCGGCGCUGACCGCCGUGCGCCUCCACAAGAACGUAGCCAGAGGUGGCGGCGCGGCUAGAGGACGGCAGUCUACGAGAGCGUACUGUGGGAGCGAGAGGAUCGCCGAACCACGGCGCCGACGUAUCGGNNNNNNNNNNNNNNNNNNNNNNNNNNNNNNNNNNNNNNNNNNNNNNNNNNNNNNNNNNNNNNNNNNNNNNNNNNNNNNNNNNNNNNNNNNNNNNNNNNNNNNNNNNNNNNNNNNNNNNNNNNNNNNNNNNNNNNNNNNNNNNNNNNNNNNNNNNNNNNNNNNNNNNNNNNNNNNNNNNNNNNNNNNNNNNNNNNNNNNNNNNNNNNNNNNNNNNNNNNNNNNNNNNNNNNNNNNNNNNNNNNNNNNNNNNNNNNNNNNNNNNNNNNNNNNNNNNNNNNNNNNNNNNNNNNNNNNNNNNNNNNNNNNNNNNNNNNNNNNNNNNNNNNNNNNNNNNNNNNGGUGGAGCGAAUGGAGUGGAGGGGGACAGGGGGGAGGGGGUUUGGGGAAUAUUAUUGGCUAGUUGGCCGAAGGGCGGUUGAAUCGGAUUUGGGGGGAAUUUUUGGGUGUGUGUGGGGGGGGAGGAUUUUUGCGCGGUGGACGGGGGGAGUUUGGCGCAUGGUCGGUUUCUCCAAGUGCAGUCCCACGUGUCAGUGAAGAGGCAAGCCGAAGCGCGUUCUGUUUGCGUGAGCCGUGUGCAAGACCGAACGUGUGUGGGGUGCAAUGCGACCGCGACAGGAGUGCUGUGAGUGUACCGCCUUUUUCCUUUUAAACUAGGUGCUUCGCCCCCUAAAAAAACAUUUGUUGCUUCGCGCGAUCCAUUGAUACUACUACUAGUAAUCCGGUAAUCCCGACUAAAACGGCGCGGCCGGGUCUUUUCCCGCGCGAUAUGCUGGGAGGUUGGCUUAGUUGGGUUUUUAGGACGAGUAAUGCUACACCUACGUAAUCCCAGUUACGUAAUUAACGUAAUGUGAAACGUGUGAGCUGUUGAUUAUAGAUUGGGGGAGGGAAGGGCCCACCACCAUGAAAAUCAGGGGAGGAGAGAGAGAGAGGCAAUUUACGUUACCCUUUCAUAGGUUCCCGUAGAUGUAAAAAUAUGUGAAAUGCCUGAAUGUGUAGUGGACGUACUAUUGGAGUGCCUAAGAUAAUUUGUGUAUGUAUAGACCCUAUGUGUUUAUUUUACUUCGCAUGUUAGAUUUGUCUCGGUUCAAUAAAAAGUAGAGUUGGUGAUGAUGGUGUGCCUGUCAUCCUGCAAUAUAGGCCGUCCGAUCUAUAUCUAACGGAUAGAAAGGAAACUAUGACAAUUUACCCGCACUCCUCUCCACAUUUGCAGAUAAGGCUUUCCCUCGUUCAUCCUUUUCUCCCACAAGAUCUUGAUCUUCUGUGCAACACACGGGCAUCUUGCUAGUACUCCUACAAUAUGUAUAUUAUUGUGAAAGUUCAUAUACACCAGCCGAGAUUAAUGCAAACACGACAGAUUUUCAUUACAUUUCGAACUUUUAUAGGACAGAAAAAUAAAAGAAACCCGACCCUAAACCUAUUCUACGGCGACGACCGACGUCCUCCAUCUGCGAUCUCUAUGUACGGGGGCGGGGUUCAAGACCCGUGAAGUGAAGGUGCGGUCUCCGGCGAGGAAGAGUAGAACACGGGAUACGGACCGGCCCUUUCGGCACACCAUGCCCUGCCGCCUCCCAUGCCCUACUCAUCCUCGGAGGAGUCCCCGACCUCGGCGGUGCCGGACAUUGGACGGCGGCAAGUAUGACGCGUGGCUGACGGUGCUCCCGUCGUCGGCCGCCAGCGUGGCCACCGCUUGUGCGGUCACGUCCGCGUCCGGCUACGCCGCUAUUGCGUCGCGAGAGGCGACCUGAGCGAGGGCGGCGACCUCGAGCUUCAUCCCCGAAGACAAGCUCUCCCGCAGAGCAUUCGCACUUGCGGUCAUGGCGGAUGUGGUGCCAGGUAGGAGGACGAUGCGCUAUGGUGUGGAGGUUAGCUGGGCGUUGCCGCUUUAAGUAGGGCAUUCCGGUGAGGCCAAGCGUCCGGGUGCGUCAUUAAGUCGCCGGAGUUGGUUCCUCGGGCACCGAGCCUCUUAACGACGACAUACGAACGGACGGCAUGAAUGCGGGCAGCUGGCGCCGGCUGGGAACGCACCGCACGACGGCGUGAGGGACGAGGGUUUUGGUGUGCCAGGGUAGUCAGCUGCGGUCAUGGCAACGUUGGAGAUGCCCUUUGCUCACAUGCGAUCCGCGCAUGUCAUUGAAAAAGCAAGACGACCCGGCAUGGUCUCAGGUCCAGAGGAUGAAGUUGGCCGCGCUACACCACUCCGCGGACGCGUCGCGGCGCCCCGUGCAUCCUCGACGAGCCGGGUGUUGGGGUGUGUUUGGAUUGUGGCCAAAGUGCACCUUACCAAAAUUUUGGUCAUGACCCAAAGAUUGGUCUUUGUUUGGAUGGUUGCCAUUUUUUCGGCAUGCCAAUGAACUCUAGCCAACUCUAGUUCAUUUUUCUUGCCAAUGUCGGCCAAAUCAUGGGCAACCAAUACCUCAACCAAAAUUUUGGUCAUGACCCAAAGAUUGUUCUUUGUUUGGAUGGUUGCCAUUUCUUUGGCAUGCCAAUGAACUCUAGCCAACUCUAGUUCAUUUUUCUUGCCAAUGUCGGCCAAAUCAUGGGCAACCAAUACCUCAACCAAAAUUUUGGCUACCCAAUGCUUUGAUGGGGCAACCUUGGGCACAAACCAAACAUACCGUUGGUCGUGCCACAGCACUAACGCCACCCUCGGCACACUGAAACCGACCGUGUCUAGCGACGAUAUGAGCGUGUCGCUCACCGCGGUCGCCGUGUCCAGAGGCGGUGCUGGAGCUGCACCCCGUUGUUGGCCCCAACGACCCACAUGAACGGUUGUCGGUGGCGAGGAGGUCGUGGGCCAGCUCCUCCAUUGGACUAGUCUGCGCUACGUUGUCCCGACGGGUGUGCCCCACAUGUCGGUUUCCCUGUUUUCCCGGCCAUAUUCGAGCGUCAGUGCUCCGCGUUGCGCAUUAGGCCUUUCACUAUGUAGGCCAAGCGAGACAACUUAUUGUUUAUUUGAGCCGUUCAAGUAUAAUCAUGUGGCGUUUGCUUAUUUCUCAUUCCUCUCCAACCCUCUUCUCCAUCGAUCAUGUCGCCCUCCAGUCGAGUCCAUCCUCCCGCAUGCCUCAUUUGAACAUUCCACCGAGUAUCAUUCGCAUGUACCCACCCUAGUCCUCUUUCAAUAGAUCUCCGGACCCCGAGAUGAAAUCGAGAGGGAACGAGUGGGGGCACGUGAUACCUAAGGCGGAUUCAAAAUUUUGAACCGGUGAUCAUAGCAUCCGCAAAUCAUAUAUAAAGGAUAUUCAAUGUUCGUAUCAUUUUUGAAUGUACAAUAUACUCCCCCUAUCCUUUCUAGUUUACAUAUAAGUUUUAUGUGUAGUCAAAGUAUCUCUACUUUGAUCAAAAAGGUAUCAACAUUCAACAACGCCCAAUCAAUAUUGUUAGAUUCGUACGUACUCCUAGAUUUGUACUCGAGAUGGUUUCCAAUUUGACUAUUGACAAGAUUAAUAGUACAUGAGAUGUAUAAUGUGAAAAUUAUAUCAUUGGAAACUCCUUUCACAUAUGAAUUUGACCGUAUGCUUUGUGUAAGUUGCAUGUCAUAUAUUAUUACUCUAACAUUUGGUCAAAGUUAGCCUCGAAAAACGCAUUAGACCCUGUAUGCUUCGUGUAAGUUGCAUGUCAUAUAUUAUUACUCUAACAUUUGUGUAAGUUGCAUGUCAUAUAUUAUUACUCUAACAUUUGGUCAAAGUAGUAUAGUGGAAGUGGAUCCUCUGACGUAGGUAUCCCUGCCUUACCCUCCCUUUCGGUCACUUACUGGCGGACCCCAUGCUUGCUAGGCCCCGCAUGUCAGUUACUCAAUGGGUUCGGCUACGUCAGGGGAUCCUCAUCCGUAGUAUACUCCCUCUGUUUUUAUUUACUCCGCAUAAAACGGAGGGAGUGGUGGUAUAAUAAAUGAAGCGGGCGGGGGAGGGGGAGGGACGUCGGUUUGCUCUCAACUGCGGUCCCACAAGCGAGCGAAAACGCAAGACGAAGCGCGUUCCAUUCGGUGAGCGACGUGGAGGGUCCAGCGUGCCGGGCUGCAACGCGAACACGACAAGAGCGAUGUACAGUCAAAACCGAUUGACCGGUCGUCACCGGAACCACUAUUCACACCAGAACCUUCGCUGCUCGGCCUACGCCAGCCACUGCCCUAAAACCACACCAAAUCUCCAGCCCAUUCCCCCACCUUUCGAUCCCCUAGACCGCAUCAAGCGUCCCCUAGUUCGCCGGAAAGCCAUGGUGCGCCGCAAGAUCACUUACUACAAGAUGCUGACGCCGGAGCGCCGCGCAGAAAUCGCGGCGGCGGUCGGCGCCACAGACCUCCAUUCCCAAGCUCGCUUUGCGGCGGGCCAAUCCCCGAGUUCUCUGGAGCCAAGCUACGAGGAGGAGGAAGCCGAUCCAAUGUUCAUGGCGGAGGUCGCAGCGUAGAAGGCCCCCGAUGGGUAUGAGACGAUGGACGUCGACUUCGUGCCGGCGUCCGAGUCCCCCAUGGUGCAGGCGGACCAGCGGUUCAACAUGGCGAUACUAAAGGAGGACCGGGAGGCAGAGGCUCGACUCGACGCGGAGCGCGCGCAUGCCGCUGCCAUCGAGGCUCUCCUGCAGGCGGAACCGGAUGUCGUGGAUGUGAACCGGGCGGCGGAGGCUCAACUUGAGGCAGAGCGCGCGGAUGCCGAUGCCAUCGAGGCCCUCCUACAGGUGGAACCGGACGUCCGGGACUUGAACCGGGCGGCAGAGGCUCGACUCGACGCAGAGCGCGCGGAUGCCGCUCUCAUCGACGCCCUCCUGUAGGCGGAACCGGACGUCCUGGACUUGAACCGGGCGGCGGAGGCUCGACUCGACGCGGAGCGCGCGGAUGCCGCUGCCAUCAAGGCCCUCCUUCAGGCGGAACCGGACGUCCUCGACUUGAACCAGGUUGUGCUCUCGUCCGUGCAGAGCGCCCGCACGCUCCGCUUGAACGAGUAGCUGGAGGCCGAGGACAACCACGGUGCGGAGACACACGUCGGCAGCGACGGCUGGUUCGCGCCGGCAGCCAAAGACGACGAGGUCGUCUCUUUCCGUGAGCAUUGAUAGUUUUUCUUUAUGUUGUUGUUUUUAUGGAUCUUUUGCUGUGUAAAAACAUAUAUUUGUUAUGCAAGUCACCUGACUUGGGUCAGUCUACCAUUUCAGGCGGUUGGAUGAAUAUCCUACGUCUCCUAACCCUUCUUUCCUUCUUCCUCACCUCUUCUUCUUCCCCAACAGACCACCGCACGGGCCGUACGGAUACUCCCCAACAUGCGGUUGGAUAAACAUACUCUAUGAACGAAAAUUAUGUGACAGCGAUAGGAUGGCUGAGUUUGGUUUGUUCACAUGCGACAGCACGUGUCAGUGAGGGUGCGUUCCCUUGGUUGGGUUUGCGGCGUGCAGGAGCGACUGUGUGAGGGUGCGGUGCGCCCGCGGCGUGCAGGAGCGACCGUGUAAGGGUGUGGUGCGACCGCGACAGCCGUCCGCAAGUGUACCUCCUUCUCAUUUUGAAAACAUUAGGCAAGCUUGGCAAAAAUGUGUGGCGAAGUUUGGCAAUGCAAGGCCUAGACCCAAACAGGAUAAGUACGUACAUACUAGGAGUACUAGUGUUAAAAAAGAAAGGCGGGGUUUUCCUUCGCGGGAUUUAAUCGAUACAAAUCCUCGUUUCACGUGUCAAUUAAUGCGUAUUUUUCUCCAAAGACCAAAGAGCUAACCAUCUCACUCCUCAUCGCUUGAUUAAUGCAGCGCCAUGCAAACCAACCUUCUCACUUUCGCAUGCAUGCAGGGGAUAUUAAUGUCCUUGGUUGCUAACCCCAUCAAUUUUGCCUCGAUUAGUGUUAGUGGUCCUUUGCAAAUUGUAAUUUUGAUAUACUGGCCUUGUGUACAAAAAAAUGGAGGUAGUAACUAUAUUUGACUUCCUUCCCCAUUGCGGUGACGUCGGCGAUAUCUUUUUUUUGGUGGUUUGGCGAAGUGCGUUCGACGGAGAACACCAUUGAGGGAGACCACAGUAAGUCGUUCGCAAGUGCCGCCUGCAAGCCGAGACAACUGCCUUAUUUGCAUCCAGGAAGUCCUUUACUAGUACUACCAGGAGUACUAGUGCGGUGAGAUGGUUUCUCGAAGAAGACGAUGGAGAAGCAGAGUCAGCAAAGAGUGAAAUGAUGGUUGCUUCGUCCGUGCUUUUGUGAUUUGACGCCUCACUACUUUGUGAUUUGUGAUAGAAGGGACAGGGGAGUAGACUCUCUGCUCUAUAUUGUACUACAUGCGUCCAAGCAUGGGAGAAAGAGGAGAGACGUUGCAUUUUUCUAUUCCUUCAAUCAAUCAAUCAGGGAGCUUCGGUUCCAUCUUUUUGGCUUUGUCAACACCGUCCACAAUGGUUCCCACGAUGCCAAAAGCUACUUUCACAUAUGGCUACACAUUGUGGAUGCCCUUAACCGUACCACUUUUUUCUCCUGUGUGCUAUCUAUACAAAUCUCAAUUAUAUUGAUCUAAAAAAUUAUAGAAUCAAGAUUAGUAAAAAGGAGGUGAUUUUGCCGCGCGGAUGGCGGGGGAGGUUUCUUAUUUGAGCAAUGCUACAUCCACGUAAUGGUUUACGUAAAGUUACGAACUGAUGUGAUGUGGGACUAUUUGAUUGGAUUAAAGGAGAGGAUUAGGCCCACCCCACCUGAAAAUCAGGGGGGGCAUAUAUAGAUUAGAUGGAAAGUAUACGUAGCAGCUACGUAGCCCUUUGUAAGUCUAGGAUUAGGCUUCUUAUUUUCGGAGGACGUUGUCCUGGCGGUUUGCUAACAUGCGGUCCCACGUGUCAGUGCUUUACCAAGCCGAUCCGCAUCCCACCUGAGGCAGAACAACGGCAGAAGCAACACGUUAAGUUGAAGAAGAUGAGGGAGAAGCGGAUUCAGCAACGAGUGAAAUGAUGUGAUGGUUGCUUUGUCCCUCCAACUUAACUGCGGGAAAGGUGCAGCUUUGUGAUUUGACGCCUCAUUGCUCAUUACUACGCCGGCGCCAUGACUGGGGUGCUUCACCCCGGCUGCUCUGCACUGUAUUCCGGUAUGGCACAUGGACCCGGUAGCUUGGUGUCCCACAUGUCGGCGAAAGGGACUAGAAGCUUUAUGAAAGCGAGCGCUCCACUCUUACGAUGGAGGAGUAGACGACACGACGGCCCGGUGAACUGUCACUUGUAGUACUGUAUAGUACUAUAGUUUUGCUGUUUCGCACGAUCCAUCGAUACAAACCCGAUUAAACAGGAAAGGGCGGGAUUUUUCCCGCGCGGUAGAUGAUACUGGCCAUACAUUUCAAAGGCAAUUUUAAUGUAUACAAACUGAAUAAUUAUAAGUAAUAAUAUGAUAUCUAGUAAAACUAAAAACACAUAUGAUUUAUUGUGUUAGAGUGUAGUAGUAGUGCUGUAUUGCAUAGUUGUUAGAUGUAACAUGCGAGAACGUGUAGAGAUGUAGUUUUGGAGGGCCUACAGAGAGAAAAGCGUAAUACGGUCACCGAACUUCAGAAUAAGCUGAUUACGGUCACUAUAUACGUUUUGCGGUGAUUAUACGGUCACUUGCUCACAGUUCAGCAUUGGAUUGCACUCUGUUGACCGGCCAAAUAGUCUGCGUGGCGCCAUGUUGACUAGUUAAAUUGACCACGUUCCUUGUGGGUCCCACCUGUCAGUUCGCAUAGGCAAAAGGUCAGAUAAACACAAAUUUACGCAGGCGCGACAAGGCUCCAACCCGUGCGCGGGAAUCACCUGGUUGUGUAUGUGUCUGUCAGGGCCUGAUGUGUGCGCAUGCACGUGUAGGUUGAGCACUUGAGCGUGAGAGUGUGUGUUGGUCGUGUGGUGUACUGGUGUGUGCAUGCAUGCGUGCGUGUGUGCGUGUGAUUGUUGCGUGCGUGCGUGUGAGUGUUGCGUGCGUGCGUGGCUGCGUGUGUACGUGUGAGUGUUGCAUGCGUGCGUGGGUGCAUGUGUUUGUGUGAGUGUUGCGUGGAUGCAGUUCGUGUGCAUGUGUGCGUGUGUGUAUAAUCACGACACCAGCUCCUGUGUGUUAAAACAGACGGCUCAACAUACCAAUACAAGGCCACCUUGUCCGCUGUGCCCGCGGUCAUGACUUCGAACCACCGUCCAAAUAUAUUUUUUGUCGUUUGUUUUCAUUCUUACUAGCAAGAUGCCCGUGCGUUGCACGUAAUAUCAAGAUGCAUUUGUAUGACUUGUUUAUCUUAUGAUAGAAAAGGAUGAACGAGGGAAGGCCUUAUUUGCAAAUGUGGAGAGGUGUGUGGGUACCUUUUUGCAAAAUUGCCAUAGUUUCUUUCCUAUCCGCCAGAUAUAAAUCGGACGGCCUAUAUUGCAGGAUGGCAGGCACACCAUCAUCACCAACUCUGUUUUUUAUAAGAGUGUAUUUUAUGUAUUUUAUAAGAGUGUAGAUGUAGAGUAGAUACAAGUCGACAGGUGGGCACGAUGGUAGUGAGAUAAUGUGAUGCAACACUAGAGGUGCCACGUGGAGCGUUUAACUGGUCAACUAGUCAUGUCAUGAGCAAAUACAGAGUUGUACGGUGAGCGCAUGACUGUAUAAUAACCACUAAACGUAAAUGGUGACCGUAAUGAGUGGAUUCUGAAGUCCAAUGUACGUAUCGUGCUUUCACUUCAAAUACAAUGAUUAUCAUUGCAUAUAUCGCGAGAGAAAGAUGAAACAUGCGUGAAUUUUCUGGGGGCUUACUUUUAGAGGACCUGGAGAUAGUUUUGUGUGCAUACGUGAAAGGGGCGUACAGGGGGGUAUGCGAUGGAGAGAGAGAGAUGCUCUUCGUUUCUCUUUAUUAUGACUAACUUUGUAUAUAGUAUAAAAAUAUACAAAUUCACAGUGCGGAACAAAUAUCAUUGUGGGCACCAUGCAAUGCAAAUUAGCGUUCGUACUCCUCCAUAUAACUUUGUAAUGUUGUAUAUAUGUAGAAACUCUAAAAUAAUUUUUUGGCCACACUUUAUUCAAAAGGAAUGUUGUAUGUGAAAUAAACGUGAAGAGAGGUCUUUUUAGAUCAAUGGGGUACGUGAUGUAACAUGUGUGAAUGUGUAGUUGAUGCAUUUGGCGGGGCCUAGAGAGGUAUGUGUGUGUAUUACGUAUUCGAGAGAGGCAUGGAUAGAGGGGCCGACGGGGGGGGCAUGGGAGAGAUAGCACGAGCAAUGAGAGUGGUCUAGAGAGAGAGACGAAUAUGACGUCACGACAAGAGAUUCCAUUCCCUUGAGUGUGUAUAUGCAAGGGAGGAGGGAAGAGAGGCACUAGGAGAAAUUUUCUGUGUGUGUGUGGUGUUUGUGUUGGUAUGUGUGGGUGUGAGAAGAUAAUGAGACGUGGGGGCAGAGGGUGUGUCACCGCGUGAGGUCCGGUGGGUCGAGGUGAGGCCCUUCGUUCGGUUCCGUCCUGCGCCACAUUGGUCGGCCCGUGACGCAUUUAGGAAGACCCAUGGAUGACUAGUCGUACAAGACAAAGAUAGCAGAAUUGUGAAGGACUCUGUGUCCACUGACAAAGCCGGCUAGGAUUUGUAACCCUAGGUUCUCGGACUAAGGUAACCCCUUUAUCUCUGAUAUUACUAUUCAUCCAACCUAACUUUAAGGGGCAUCCUACAGAAUGCUCUGCUAGAAUCGUACUCGUCGAUUAGGAAGAGAGGUGUGAGACAAUGCGUGAGAGAUAGGCGUAAAGAUAAUGUGCGUACAUGAGACACGUAGGCAGGUCCAUGUAUAUAGAAAGGGUCGAUGAGGAUUGUGCGUGUGUAUGUUUGCGAGAGGAAGAGUGCUUGUGAUAAAGGUUAGUGAAAACAGUUGUAAAUGGUUACGAGAGGGAGGGAGGGUUAUAUCUAGAGCAUGUGUGCGAGAAAGACACCUCGGGAGAGAGUGUGUGAGCAUGUGUGAGAGACCACCGAUGGAGAGUGAAACUACACGUAAAAGACUGCUCUACACAUUGAUUAAAGAUAUAAAUUGUAUCCAAAUAUUAGGAUGGGAUCAUGAUAUUUGCAAUUCGCGUAAGGAGCGGUCAUUGAUCCAUCAGACAUCUAGAUUCUAUCGAAUUUGAGCAUGUCUAUGUUAUUAUUCGACACAAUUGAUCCACAUAGUUAGUAUUUUGAACUCCAGACAACGCAUCGCUUUAGCAAUCGAAUAUAAACGUGAGUAUAGUUCAUGUUGUGUGUGUAAAGCACAUUAUACAUACGAAAUUUACACAAUGGACAUUAUAAAUAGCCACCUAUGAACUAGCAUACAUUUGAAUUCAACUUAAGGUGGUUUAAAAAAAUCGAAUUCAACAUGAAGUCCAUUCAAUUAUUUGAAUUUGAUAUCAUGGCAUUUGUAAACCAUACCUAAAUUAUGGGGGCACCAAUCUUUGCUCUGAUUUUGUACAUAAUAGCAUAUGUAGUCGUGUACAAAAUAGAUUCAAAUUUAGCUCCUCCAUUCCAAAAUAAUCGUAGUUAUAGGAUUUUCAAGUGUCAAAAUUUCAAAAAGAAGCGAAUAAUUUAAUGAGGUUUUCAAAUAUACAAGGUCAAAUAUAACGUUGUCUAUUUAGGUCAAUCCUCAUAGUUCAAGAGUACUCUAAACGUGAAUGCUUGUGUUUCAAAAUUUUGAACGAAGCGCCAAAAGAGCCUCUACUCGCCCGAAACCGCGUGAGACCAAUGUUUGGUAGUACAAGGAAAUUACUUUUCUAAUAACUCCGACCCGUGAAACCUACCGGCCCGACGUCCAAAGGUCUAAACCGGGGUAGGUUUGUAGCUUCAUCUAGACGCCACGCAACCGCAUCCGAAAAACAUUCAUACACAAUGGCCGCCUAAGCACACAUGCGCGCGGCCGAAAUCGCUCCCGCCCACUAUUUGGGACACCUGGGAUUACCAUCCUACCCCCGACCCGCAGUAGGUCCGAAAUUUAAGAGGGGGGCAAAGUUUGUACUUUCCCCAAAUUUCAAACAAGCGCGUCCCAUCUUCUGUUCAAAAAAGCCAAAAACAAGCGCGUCCCAGACCGAAACAUGGUUCCCCCCCACCCGUCCGAUUCCCCAUUCGUACUCCGUGGGUGCCAAAACUACCUCUCCACCAGCCGCGAAACCCCGGCGUCCUCCGUCCGCCACCCCAUCCCACCCAUCAACCGCCGCCCUCCUCCAUCACGCCGGAGCCGAUACCCCGACGUCGUCGUCCACCGCAACCUCAACCGCAACGCCCUCCACGGCUAGUAGUUGAAGCCGAGGCCGAGCCGUCCGUACCCGAGCCAGUUCAACCACGCCGUCCUGCGCCUCACCGCUGCCGCUCCAACUUCGCCACCCUCCACCGCACCGGAGCUGUUCCUGCUACGCCGUCCUUCGCCGCCUCGGAUCUGCUUCCCCUCCGCCGACAUACGGCCACGGCAACACAGUCAACAAUUUGGCCAUGGGUUCGUCCAAGCCUGCACCCUCCAGAACAUCGGUUUCCCCAGUAAAAAGAAGAAGAUCGGCACGACAUGUGGAGGUGACCACACCGGCAACCGAGAAAGGUACUCCUCUUCCCUUAUUCGUGCAAAUCUUACGUCUCUGCUUGCACGGUAUUCAUCCCACAGAAGACACUAGUUGACCGCUUCUUCUUGAUACUAGAUGUUCCUAGUAACUCGCGAUGCACAAGGUUUCUCCUCAUAUACUAUUUCACCUUAGCUAGAGGUCCGUCGCCCCCCUGAAUUUCAAUUUCUGGCCAGUUGAUUCCCAAUUAACGGAAGCAUUCCCCGGCGUAACAGGCGCUAGUACGCCUAUUACGCCGGGGAAGCAGCGCCUUGGUGUUUAUCUUAGGGGCGUGUGCGGCCUAGAGCUACUGGCGCCCGAUCUGGAGGUCGGCCGUGAUUAAAGGGAUGGCCUGGGGGCGCUGCCAAGCACGGCGGUGGUGUGAGGUCGAUGGGAGGGCGGGGCGGCGGAGGCAGGGGUCUGGGCCGGUGGUCGCUGGCGGUUCGAGAAAGAUCGUCAACAGUGACUGGCGGGAGGUAGACGAAGGCCAUCUGCCCGUUCCUUAUGGAUCGGACGGUUCAUUAAAAAAAUCAACUGACUUAUUUAUUUUCAGUCGACUGUUAUCUUAGAUAUGACCACAUGUGGUGGUGUGCUGGAGGAGUACCUGCAUUUCCUGUGCUCAUAUAUUACAAAAUCAUACGGAGUAGAAUCUAAUUUUGUUUGCCAUGCAAUGUUGUAGAGCUAUCAUAUGUCUCCUAUCAUUUAUUUUUCAGCCACCUGCUAUCUGCUACUUUUACAGUGCACUAGUUCUGCACACACUUCACCCUUACUCUCACUAUUGUGUUUUUAUGCAAGGGUAUUUCAGACUCUGCUGCCAUGAGAGAAGCCAAAAAGAAAAGAGAGAAGUCACUCCAGCUUCGUAUGCGGGUAGGCAAGACACGUUACAACGCUAUAAAGGGUGCAGUGUCAGCAGAUGGAGAUGGUAAACGUAGCUCUGGAGUUGAUGACCUCGCUCGCAAUGAACCACCAUCCCAGGUGCUUGCUUUAACUUCGCGGUGUCAUAUGUGGUUGCAUGUUCCAUAUGGUGUCUAGCUUGUAUUCGAAAGGCCGAAGUCGGUAAGAUAAGGAAAGAUAGUUUUUUACAUGAACCACCAUCCCGUGAGCACCAGAAGACAAAUAGGUAGCCAGGGCACUGGCCGAGCCAGUGACAAGCCCAGCAAAGAUAGGCAUCACCUGGAAGCCAACUAAAAAGCUGCGAUGGUGGCGAAGCAGCCCGCCUCCCACCAGGCUCUCAGGUCCUAGAUGAUCAUGCUCACCACUCCAGCCGGAUGUCUAGCUUGUAUUGCUUCCAAUUUGGUUAAAUUGCAUCUGCUUAGCUUACACAUUAUACCUUUGAAUAUGACAUACCUUUCUGUUUUUGGUACAUACUAGUACAUCUGUGUAUUAACCAUGUUCUUACAUCAAACUAAUGUUCUUGUGUAUCCCUCAUCAAUCACUUAUGACGAGGUAGGCAGGCAAGGGGACUACUCCUCAUUUAAAGAAUGCAGCGUCAGCCUCCCGACAUGAUUCUCAAGAAACAGAAAUGCUAGAUGAAGAUAGUGAACGUAGCUCUGUAGUUGAUUACAGCAUUUCCCCUACACUAGCAUCGCAGGUGCUUGCUCUAACUUGGCAGCGUGAUAUGUGGUUGCAUGUUGCAUAUGGUGUCUAGAUUGUAAUUAUUCCAAUCUGGUUAAACUGCAUGUGCUAGUCUGCUUAGCUUAUACAUUAUACCUGUUAAUGUGACAUGCCUUCCUGUAUUUAGUACAUAGUACAUCUGUCUAUUAAGCAUGUCCUUACAUAAAACUAUUGUUUUUUUUGUAUCCCGCAUCAAUCAACAUGAUGAGACACCUUUAGUAUAUGCAGUGUGAUAUUAGUUGCAUCUUUCAUAUGAUUUAUAGCAUGCGCUGCUUCUAAUUUGUUGAAAUUCCAUUUAUGAUGGGACGCUUUUAACUUGGCAGAGUCAUAUUGGUUGCAUCUUUCAUGUGGUGUCUAUCUUGCAUUGCUUCUUAUUUGCUAGAAUGGUUUCUGCUUAGUUUACACAAACAGUUGUGAACAUGCCAUGCCGUCCUAUUUUUCGUACAUAUUCCAUCCUGGUAUCAUGUGUUUGCCUUACAUCAAAGUAGUGAUUGUCAGUAUCAUGCAUGAAUGAGUUCUGAAGAGAGAAUUUUAUUGCUUUUUCUUGUCGGUUUUACUUGACAGUUCAAAAUCAAUAAAGCGGAAGGAAGUUAGUAAGGCAGCGGAUAAAGGUGCUCCUUCCGAAUGGAGGGCCUCUACAGUUUCUACUCCUCCACACCCCCAAGAUGAUUUCCAAGACAACACAUGCAUAGACACUCAACAAAGCUGUGUUUAUGAUGAGCACGUCUCCCCUAGUGCAGCAUCACCAGUGCUCCCUCUAACUUGGCACUGUUAUAUGUGGUUGCAUGUUAUGUGUGAUGUCUAGCUUGUAUUGCUUCUAAUUUUGUUGAAUUCCAUCUGCUUACUUUACACAUUAUACUUGAAUAAGACACGUGUUCCUGUUUCUAGAACAUACAAUAUCUGUCUAUCACACCAUGUUCUUACAUCAAAUUACUACUGUUGUGUAACCUGCAACAAUCACUUAUCAUAAGACACGUUUGACUUCGGAGUGUGAUAUAGGUUACAUCUCACAUUCUUUUCUAGCUUGUACUACUAAUUUGUUGAAAUGGCACUUAUGACGAGACAGUUUUAACUUGGUAGAGUGAUAUUCGUUGCAUCUUUCAUAUGGUGUCUAGCUUUCAUUGCUUCUAAUUUGUUGAAAUGCCUUCUCCUUAGUUUACACAUCAUAAGCUGUGAAUAUGCAAUGGCACUAAUGACGAGAGACCUCUAACAUGGUAGUGUGAUGUUGUUUGCAUCUUGCAUAUGAUUUAUUUCUUGUACUGCUUCACAUUAGUUUAAACGCCAUUUAUGAUGAGACACUGUUAACUUGGCAGAGCGAUAUUUGUAGCAUCUUUCAUAUGGUGUCUACCUUCCAUUGCAUUGCUUCUAAUUUGGUGAAAUCUCUUCUUCUUAGUUUACACAUCAUAGUUCUGGUUAUCUCUUCCAUCCUGUUUUUCAUACAUAUUACAUCCUCCUAUCAUGUGGUUGUCUAACAUCAAAGUUCAGUUCGUCUGCAUCACACAUCAAUUUGUUCUGAAGAACUAAAUUGUUAUUCGUUUUUCUUGUCGGCUUGACUUAACAUGGCACAGAGAAAGAGGAAGAAACAUAGAAUGGCAGGGAAUGAGAAGCGGAUGAAUCCUGCAGAUUCUGCUGGUACUGAUGGUGCAAUAGAAGUUCAAAGUCCAGCGGAAAAUUCUACAAACACGACAUCCCAUGCUACACGAGUUGCAAAAAAAGCCAAACAGAAACAAAUAGCUGCCACCAAACAAGCAGAGACAACCCUAGUUCUUGCAACACCUACGAUAGUACUAGCAGCUGCAUGACUUACUCGUGCGUCAACUGAGCUAGCAGCACGUUCCCAAGCUCCCUUGCCACCUGACACUACUUCCCAAGCACUCUUGACACAAGACGAGUUGGCAAUAUCAGAUGAACCUUGUGAGCUUCAACAGCAAGAAGGUAGUUGCUGGAGUCAAGUUACAGUUGCAUGCUUCUUUAUAUGUAGUCUCACAGUUUGAUGUACACUAACACUUCCUAUGUUCAUUGUUGGACUAGCACCUAGGCGCACGAGGAAACAAACAUCAGGGAUAAUGCUCGAUAGGUUAACUAAAUCUAGAGGAGGAAGAAUGGAGAUCCGUUUUGAGGCAGGUUUAAAAAGGCCACGUGAUGCUACAGAGUCAGCCAAGUUAGUAUCAGAGGCAGCGGUUGCCGUUAGGUGUCAUGUACGUAUCCUCCCAACAUGGAUUCAGUACAGUAAUGACAAAGACGAAACCCAGUUCAACACCUUCCUCGACCAUUUAUCUGUAAGUAUGGUUAUGUAUGGAAACUAGUAAUAUCGUCUUGCUCUGUCCCAUACUUUCUAGGUUGCUGAUAAUGAGACUCCCAUAAUUUUCAACAGAUGAGGUUCAAGUUGGAUAGCCAAGAUGAUGCAACUAGACAAGCUUGCACCCAUGUUUUCAAGUCUGCUCUGCGACAGUAUCGGUAUAACUUGAGGAAAACUCACUUUGAAGGCAAGGCUAACAGUGAACUUUCCCAAACAUCUCCAGUGGAAAAUAUAUCGGAUGAAGACUGGAGGGGCCUUGUUAAACACUGGUCUAAUCCGAAGUAUCAGGUACAUUAUAUAUAUAUGUGAUCAGAUCACAUGUUGAAGUCCUAUUUACGCAUGUGCCACACAAAUCUAUCUUCUUGCAGGUGAACUGUUCAAAGAACAAGGCCAACCGUACGAAAGUGAAAUUCCAACAGACGACAGGAUCUCGUAGCUAUAUUGCACACCGCGAGGCUCUUGUAAUUAGCUGUUGUUCCACUCUUUUCGUUGUACCAUAUUAUCAUAUCUAUAUUGACUUGUUCGAAAUGCAGAGGAAAGCCCACAAGGACCAAAAAGUACCUGAACCAAAUGCUGUGGAAAUCUUCAAGGACUGUCACACCAGCAAGAAGAAGGGCAUGACUACACCAGUCAAAGCCGCCGUUGUAAGUCCUUAAUCCUCAUGCCUUUUAACUACUACUUACACUGACUUGUGCCUUGAACUGCAUGGUUUGCAGCCAAUGUCUAUUACUCUUUUCAAUUUUAUACACAAUUGUCUUAGCGUAUCAUUGCACUUUACACGGUUUAAAAGAGAGGAGUGAUGUUCCUUUGAUCUUGACCCGUAAUCUAGUUCCGUGCUGGACUUGCCCACACAACAUUACAAUUGCCUGUUUGUCAGUUCUCAGUUGUUUUGUGAUAUGAAUGAUGUCAUACUAUGCUUACCAUAUUAUAAACUUCGUCUCUUUAUCCUUAGCCCUCAAUACAAUGUGAAGAAAUAGACAAUACAUUAGCGAUGGUACAUGGUCAUAUGUUUGGAACCUGGUUUUAUUAUGUACUUUGCAAUAAAAUACAACUAAUAUUUUACAUGGGUUCACCAGAAUAAGUUCUGUAUAUAGACCAAAGCUAUUUUGUUUGGUUUUGCUACCUCCUUAAUAUCUUCUGUUCUGGUACUACUAAUGUAAAACCUCAACUUUUCAGCGAGCUAUGGAAAAAAUGGUGGAACCGCCACCUUCUGAAGGUGGCGAGGCAACUAUAACCGCAAUGUCAGCUCUUGCUGCAGUGAGUCAGUACCUGUCCACUAACAGUGCCAAAAGCACGUUCCUGCGUAAUAUUGGGUUGGUUGUUAAGGCAAUAUCGUCCAAACUGCCUCAUGAUCAAGAUAUGCAAGCUCAAAGCAAUGUUGUAUCUGCGCUCCAGACACAAGUCCAUUCCCUAACAGAGACCCUUUGUGAAACAAGGAGAAACAUUGCUCAAUGUCGUCAAGAUAUGCAUGGUUUUGAAACCAGACUAUCAGACAUUUGCUAUGUUGUCCAGGAGCCUAGGGGAAAUGAAGGCGAGGGUUAUGGUGCUCCAUCGGACAAUACAGCAUGAAAACAUAACAGUCAGGUCAAAUAAACUGAGCUUCUGAACUUCUGGUGGUGCAUUUAUCUGCUAGACUGUUAAGUUUUAUGCCAACCUUCCUUUUUUUAUAUAGUUGUAACUUGUUUUGGUGCGAUACAAAAUUUAUUCUUAACGUGCAGCCACCGGCUGAAGAAAACAGUAAGCCAUUUUUGUAUAGUGUAGGGUGUUCCCUAUAUUUGCACUGGUGGCGAUCUUUGAUGCCGAGUGGAUGUAAUCUGUGCAAUCGCCUUAAUAGCCUAGCGUUAGUUUCGGCCUUAUUUAUUUCCUAGUCUUCUUUUUCCCUGGUUUGCUAGUGGCCGCAACUACCAUGGGCCAUAUACGGGCCGUAGGAUCCAUGGGUCUCCUACGGGCCGUCGAUAAAUGGGCCUGUAAUCAGUGGGCCUCGGGCCGUCAGAUAAAUGGGUCUAUAUGGGCCGUAAUCGGGCGUAAUUGGUAUCGGCCCAGCACGGUAACAGGCCGUAGGACAGCAAAGGCUUAAUUCUGUCACAAGCAUAACGGGUCGUUAAUGGGCGAGAAUAUAGGACGGGCUGGAAACGGCGCAACGGGUUAACAGGCCAGAAACGGGCUGACUCUUGCCAUGCGCCGAAUUUGGCCCAUUAGGGUAACAGGCCAGUAACGGGCCGACUCUUGCCAUGGGCCGAAUUUGGCCCAUUAGGGGAACAGGCCAGUAACGGGCCGACUCUUGCCAUGGGCCGAAUUUGGCCCAUUAGGGGAACAGGCCAGUAACGGGCCGGAAGUAAUCGAGGGCCGAAAAGGAGCCCAAGAACGUAUGGGCCGUCAAUAGGCUGAAAGCUAACAUGGGCUGGAAACGGCCCAUGUAAAUCACGGGCCGUUAACGGGUAUAAAGAAGAUUACUGUUCAUUAUGGGCUAGAGUCACCGUGGGCCUGUAAAGGGCCGAAAGAUACGAAGGCCUCAUAUGGGCCGAAAGACGUCGUGGGCCAUACAUGGGCCGAAAGUGAAAUGGGCUGGUGUUAUAUUCGACGGCCCACAUGACGUUGUUGGGCCGAUUUCCUUUAGGGCCUAACGGGCCGUGAGUUAACGGGCCGUAAAAUGGGCUAUUUGCGAAGAGACCGUUAACAGGCUUUUCAUGGGCCAGCCCGUUAACUUUUGACCAAGUCAAACGGGCCGGCUUUGUAAGCUAAAUGGGCCAGUGGUGGGCCGUGGCACGUGUCGACAUAUCAUAGGCGCCUAUCUGACCCACUGACGAGCUGACACGUGUUUCGUCCGGCCAAUAAGAAUUCAACACGUGGAAAUUUCCCAUUGGUCGGGGCUGUUAACGGGUUAUCGGAUCCAAAACCCGACCCGAUAGCUUAACGGCGUUCCGUUACGGUGGAUGCCACGUGUCGGCACCCUUGAUGAAAGCACUUCUGUGACGCGCGAUUUAUCGUCAUGGAAGUGGACACUUCCGUGAUGAUAAUUUUGGUAAUGUCAUGGAACACUUCUACGACAGCACAGGUAUGACUAUCUUGAUUAUGUCAUAAAAUCGUCAUGGAUGUACAUGCAUGACAAAAAACGCGACCUACUGUGACAAACACGUAUCAGCACGGAAGUGUUUUUUUUGUAGUGUAUGGCUGAGGCUAGGGGGCAACUUUCAUCCUUUCUCUUUCUUCUGGCGUGGUCGGGCUUUGAGUCUUACUCAACUUCACACCUUGCAACAUAGACAAGAACCCCUUCUUUGACUAGUUCAUUUUGAACUUCUUCAAAACUUUGUCAAGGUCUAUGCUUUGUGGAAGUCCUAUCAGGCCUCUUGAUCUAUCUCUAGAGAACUUGAUGCCCAAUAUGUAAGCAACUUCACCGAGGUCUUUCUUAGAAAACUAUUGUUUAAACAACUCUUUAUGUUUUCCAGAAAUUCUAUAUCAUUUCCAAUCAAUAAUAUGUCAUGCACAAGCAAUAUUAGAAAUACUACAGAGCUCCCAUUACUUUCUUGUAAACACAAACUUUUCCAUAGGCUUGGAUUAUCAAAGGCUUUGAUCAGCUCAUCAAAGUGAAUAUUCCAACUCCGAGAUGCUUGCACUAGUCCAUAAAUGGAUCGCCAGAGCUUGCAUACCUUAUUAGCAUCCUUAGGAUCAACAAAACCUUCCGGUUGCAUCAUAUACAACUCUUCCAUAAGGAAACCAUUAAGGAACGUAGUUUUGAUGUCCUUCUACCAGAUUUCAUAAUCAAAAAAUGCAGCAAUUGCUAACAUAAUCCUAACAGACUUCAGCAUCGCUAUAGGUGAGAAAGUUUCCUCGUAGUCAACCCCUUGAAUUUUGUCUUAAAACCCCUUGCAACAAGUCGAGCUUUAUAGACGGUGACAUUACCAUUAGCGCCCAUCUUCUUCUAAAAGAUCCAUUUGUGCUUAAUGGCCUUUCGAUCAUCGGGUAAGUCCACCAAAGUCCAUACUUGGUUUUCAUACAUAGAUACUAUCUCGGAUUUCAGGGCCUCUAGCCAUUUGACUGAAUCUGGGCUCAUCAUUGCUUCUUCAUAAUUCAUAGGUUCACCGUUGUCCAACAACAUGACUUUCAGGACAGGAUAAUCAUAUCAUUCAGGGGCGGUGUUGGGGAACGCAGUAAUUUCAAAAAAAAUCCUACGCACACGCAAGAUCAUGGUGAUGCAUGGCAACGAGAGGGGAGAGUGUAGUCCACGUACCCUCAUAGACCGUAACCGGAAGCGUUAUGACAACGCGAUUGAUGUAGCCGUACGUCUUCACGAUCCGACCGAUCCUAGUACCGAAAGUGCGGCACCUCCGCGAUCUGCACAUGUUCUGCUCGGUAACAUCCCACGAACUCUUGAUCCAGCUGAGUGUCGAGGGAGAGCUUCAUCAGCACAACGGUGUGAUGAUGAAGCUACUGGCGUAGGGCUUCGCCUAGCACUGCAACGAUAUGACCGAGGUGGAUUACGGUGGAGGGGGGCACCACACACGGCUAAAACAAUGUCUGUUGUUGUGUUCUAGGGUGCCCCCCUGCCCCCAUAUAUAAAGGAUCAAGGGGGAGGCCGGCCGGCCCUUGGGGCGCGCCAAGGAGGGGGAGGAGUCCUCCUCCUAGUAGGAGUAGGACUCCUCCUUUCCUAGUCCAACUAGGAGGAGGAAGGGGGGAGGAAGGAGAGGGAGAGAGGGAGGGAAAGAGGGGGCGCCGCCCCCCUCCUUGUCUAAUUCGGACUCCUCAAGGGGGGCGCGCGGCCAGCCCUAUGGCCCCCUCCUCUCUCUCUCACAAGGCCCAUGUUGGCCCAUUAGUUCCCCCGGGGGUUCCGAUAACCCCCCGACACUCCGAUAAUUAUCCGAUGACCCCCGGAACUCAUCCGGUGUCCGAAUAUAGUCAUCCAAUAUAUCAAUCUUUAUGUCUCGACCAUUUCGAGACUCCUCGUCAUGUCCGUGAUCACAUCCGGGACUCCAAACUACCUUCGGUACAUCAAAACACAUAAACUCAUAAUACCGAUCGUCACCGAACGUUAAGCGUGCGGACCCUACGGGUUCGAGGACUAUGUAGACAUGACCGAGACACGUCUCCGGUCAAUAACCAAUAGCGGAACCUGGAUGUUCAUAUUGGCUCCCACAUAUUCUACGAAGAUCUUUAUCGGUCAAACUGCAUAACGAUAUACGUUGUUCCCUUUGUCAUUGGUAUGUUACUUGCCCGAGAUUCGAUCGUCGGUAUCUCAAUACCUAGUUCAAUCUCGUUACCGGCAAGUCCCUUUACUCGUUCCGUAAUGCAUCAUCCCGCAACUAACUCAUUAGUCACAUUCCUUCCAAGGCUUAUAGUGAUGUGCAUUACCGAGAGGGCCCAGAGAUACCUCUCAAAAUCGGAGUGACAAAUCCUAAUCUCGAUCUAUGCCAACUCAACAAAUACCAUCGGAGACACCUGUAGAGCACCUUUAUAAUCACCCAGUUAUGUGGUGACGUUUGGUAUCACACUAAGUGUUCCUCCGGUAUUCGGGAGUUGCAUAAUCUCAUAGUCAUAGGAACAUGUAUAAGUCAUGAAGAAAGCAAUAGCAAUAUACUAAACGAUCAAGUGCUGAGCUAAUGGAAUGGGUCAAGUCAAUCACAGCAUUCUCUAAUGAUGUGAUCCCAUUAAUCAAAUGACAACUCAUGUCUAUGGCUAGGAAACUUAACCAUCUUUGAUUCAACGAGCUAGUCAAGUAGAGGCAUACUAGUGACACUCUGUUUGUCUAUGUAUUCACACAUGUACUAAGUUUCCGGUUAAUACAAUUCUAGCAUGAAUAAUGAACAUUUAUCAUGAUAUAAGGAAAUAUAAAUAACAACUUUAUUAUUGCCUCUAGGGCAUAUUUCCUUCAGUCUCCCACUUGCACUAGAGUCAAUAAUCUAGUUCACAUCGCCAUGUGAUUUAACACCAAUAGUUCACAUCACCAUGUGAUUAACACCCAUAGUUCACAUCGCCAUGUGACCAACACUCAAAGGGUUUACUAGAGUCAGUAAUCUUAGUUCACAUCGCCAUGUGAUUAACACCAAAAGAGUACUAAGGUGUGAUCAUGUUUUGCUUGUGAGAGAAGUUUAGUCAAUGGGUCUUCCAUAUUCAGAUCCGUAUGUAUUUUGCAAAUUUCUAUGUCAACAAUGCUCUGCACGGAGCUACUCUAGCUAAUUGCUCCCACUUUCAAUAUGUAUCCAGAUUGAGACUUAGAGUCAUCUGGAUUAGUGUAAAAACUUGCAUCGACGUAACCCUUUACGACGAACCUUUUGCCACCUCCAUAAUCGAGAAACAUAUCCUUUAUUCCACUAAGGAUAAUUUUGACCGAUGUCGAGUGAUCUACUCCUAGAUCACUAUUGUACUCCCUUGCCAAACUCAGUGUAGGGUAUACAAUAGAUCUGGUACACAGCAUGCCAUAUUUUAUAGAACCUAUGGCUGAGGCAUAGGGAAUGACUUUCAUUCUCUUUCUAUCUUCUGCCGUGGUCGGGCUUUGAGUCUUACUCAAUUUCACACCUUGCAAUACAGGCAAGAACUACUUCUUUGACUGUUUCAUUUUGAACUACUUCAAAAAUUUGUCAAGGUAUGUACUCAUUGAAAAAAAAAAUUCAAGCAUCUUGAUCUGUCUCUAUAGAUCUUGAUGCCCAAUAUGUAAGCAGCUUUUCCGAGGUCUUUCUUUGAAAGACUCCUUUCAAAUACUCCUUUAUGCUUUCCAGAAAAUUCUACAUUAUUUCUGAUCAACAAUAUGUCAUUCACAUAUACUUAUCAAAAGGUUGUAGUGCUCCCACUCACUUUCUUGUAAAUACAGGCUUCACCGCAAGUCUGUAUAAAACUAUAUGCUUUGAUCAACUCAUCAAAGCGUAUAUUCCAACUCCGAGAUGCUUGCACCCGUCCAUAGAUGGAUCGCUGGAGCUUGCACAUUUUGUUAGCACCUUUAGGAUUGACAAAACCUUCUGGUUGCAUCAUAUACAACUCUUCUUUAAGAAAUCCAUUUAAGGAAUGUAGUUUUGACAUCCAUUUGCCAGAUUUCAUAAAAUGUGGCAAUUUGCUAACAUGAUUCGGACAGACUUAAGCAUCGCUACGAGUGAGAAAAUCUCAUCGUAGUCAACACCUUGAACUUUGUCAAAAACCUUUUUUGACAAGUCUAGCUUUGUAGAUAGUAACACUACUAUCAGCGUCCGUCUUCCUCUUGAAGAUCCAUUUAUUUUCUAUGGCUGGUCGAUCAUCGGGCAAGUCAACCAAAGUCCACAUUUUGUUCUCAUACAUGGAUCCCAUCUCAGAUUUCAUGGCCUCAAGCCAUUUUGCGGAAUCUGAGCUCAUCAUCGCUUCCUCAUAGUUCGUAGGUUCGUCAUGGUCAAGUAACAUGAACUCCAGAAUAGGAUUACCGUACCACUCUGGUGCGGAACGUACUCUGGUUGACCUACGAGGUUCGGUAGUAACUUGAUCCGAAGCUUCAUGAUCAUCAUCAUUAACUUCCUCACUAAUUGGUGUAAGCAUCACUUGAACUGAUUUCCGUGAAGAAAUACUUUCCAAUUUGGGAGAAGGUACAAUUACCUCAUCAAGUUCUACCUUCCUCCCACUCACUUCUUUCGAGAGAAACUCCUUCUCCGGAAAGGAUCCAUUCUUAGCAACAAAGAUCUUGCCUUCGGAUCUGUGAUAGAAGGUGUACCCAACAGUCUCUUUUGGGUAUCCUAUGAAGACGCAUUUCUCCGAUUUGGGUUCGAGCUUAUCAGGUUGAAACUAUUUCACAUAAGCAUCGCAGCCCCAAACUUUAAGAAAUGACAACUUGAGUUUCUUGCCAAACCACAGUUCAUAAGGUGUCGUCUCAACGGAUUUAGAUGGUGCCCUAUUUAACGUGAAUGCAGCCGUCUCUAAAGGAUAACCCCAAAACGAUAGCGGUAAAUCAGUAAGAGACAUCAUAGAUCGCACCAUAUCUAGUAAAGUACGAUUACGACGUUCAGACACACCAUUACGCUGUGGUGCUCCGGGUGGCGUGAGUUGCGAAACUAUUCCGCAUUGUUUCAAAUGAAGACCAAACUCGUAACUCAAAUAUUCUCCUCCACGAUUAGAUCGUAGAAACUUUAUUUUCUUGUUACGAUGAUUUUCCACUUCACUCUGAAAUUCUUUGAACUUUUUAAAUGUUUCAGACUUAUGUUUCAUUAAGUAGAUAUACCCAUAUCUGCUUAAAUCAUCUGUGAAGGUGAGAAAAUAACGAUACCCGCCGCGAUCCUCAAUAUUCAUUGGACCACAUACAUCAGUAUGUAUGAUUUCCAACAAAUCUGUUGCUCGCUCCAUUGUUCCGGAGAACGGCGUUUUAGUCAUCUUGCCCAUGAGGUUCGCAAGUACCAAGUGAUUCAUAAUCAAGUGAUUCCAAAAGUCCAUCAGAAUGGAGUUUCUUCAUGUGCUUUACACCAAUAUGACCCAAACGGCAGUGCCACAAAUAAGUUGCACUAUCAUUAUCAACUCUACAUCUUUUGGCUUUAAUAUUAUGAAUAUGUGUGUCACUAUUAUCGAGAUUCAACAAAAAUAGACCACUCUUCAAGGGUGCAUGACCAUAAAAGAUAUUACUCAUAUAAAUAGAACAACCAUUAUUCUCUGAUUUUUAAAUGAAUAACCGUCUCGCAUCAAACAAGAUCCAGAUAUAAUGUUCAUGCUUAACGUUGGCACCAAAUAACAAUUAUUCAGGUCUAAAACUAAUCCUGAAGGUAGAUGUAGAGGCAGCGUGCCGACCGCGAUCACAUCGACUUUGGAACCAUUUCCCACGCGCAUCGUCACCUCGUCCUUAGCCAAUCUUCGCUUAAUCCGUAGUCCCUGUUUCGAGUUGCAAAUAUUAGCAACAGAACCAGUAUCAAAUACCCAGGUGCUACUGCGAGCAUUAGUAAGGUACAAAUCAAUAACAUGUAUAUCACAUAUACCUUUGUUCACCUUGCCAUCCUUCUUAUCUGCCAAAUACUUGGGGCAGUUCCGCUUCCAGUGAUCAGUCCCUUUGCAGUAGAAGCACUCAGUCUUAGGCUUAGGUCCAUACUUGGGCUUCUUCACUUGAGCAGCAACUUGCUUGUCGUUCUUCUUGAAGUUCCCCUUCUUCCCUUUACCCUUUUUCUUGAAACUGGUGGUCUUGUUGACCAUCAACACUUGAUGCUCUUUCUUGAUUUCUACCUCGGCGGCCUUUAGCAUUGCGAAGAGCUCGGGAAUUGUCUUAUCCAUCCCUUGCAUAUUAUAGUUAAUCACGAAGCUCUUGUAGCUUGGUGGCAGUGAUUGAAGAAUUCUGUCAAUGACACUAUCAUCAGGAAGAUUAACUCCCAGUUGAAUCAACUGAUUGUUAUACCCAGACAUUUUGAGUAUAUGCUCACUGACAGAACUAUUCUCCUCCAUUUUGCAGCUGUAGAACUUAUUGGAGACUUCAUAUCUCUCAAUCCGGGCAUUUGCUUGAAAUAUUAACUUCAACUCCUGGAACAUCUCAUAUGCUCCAUGACGUUCAAAACGCCGUUGAAGUCCCGGUUCUAAGCCGUAAAGCAUGGCACACUGAACUAUCGAGUAGUCAUCAGCUUUGCUCUGCCAGAUGUUCAUAACAUCUGGCGUUGCUCCUGCAGCGGGUUUGGCACCUAGCGGUGCUUCUAGGACGUAAUUCUUCUGUGCAGCAAUGAGGAUAAUCCUCAAGUUACAGACCCAGUCCGUGUAGUUGCUACCAUCAUCUUUCAACUUAGCUUUCUCUAGGAACGCAUUAAAAUUCAACGGAACAACAGCACGGGCCAUCUAUCUACAACAACAUAGACACGCAAAAUACAAUCAGGUACUAAGUUAAUAAUAAAUUAAAGUUCAAUUAAUCAAAAUUACUUAAGAACUCCCACUUAGAUAGACAUCCAUCUAAUCAUCUAAGUGAUCACGUGAUCCAUAUCAACUAAACCAUGUCCGAUCAUCACGUGAGAUGGAGUAGUUUUCGAUGGUGAACAUCACUAUGUUGAUCAUAUAUACUAUAUGAUUCACGCUCCACCUUUCAGUCUCAGUGUUUCGAGGCCAUAUCUGCAUAUGCUAGGCUAGUCAAGUUUAACCCGAGUAUUCUGUGUGUGCAAAACUGGCUUGCACCCGUUGUAUGUGAACGUAGAGCUUAUCACACCCGAUCAUCACGUGGUGCCUCGGCACGACGAACUUUCGCAACGGUGCAUACUCAGGGAGAACACUUGUACCUUGAAAUUUAGUGAGAGAUCAUCUUAUAAUGCUACCGUCGAACUAAGCAAAAUAAGAUGCAUAAAGGAUAAACAUCACAUGCAAUCAAUAUAAGUGAUAUGAUAUGGCCAUCAUCAUCUUGUGCCUUUGAUCUCCAUCUCCAAAGCACCGUCAUGAUCACCAUCGUCACUAGCGCGACACCUUGAUCUCCAUCGUAGCAUCGUUGUCGUCUCACCAACUAUUGCUUCUACGACUAUCGAUACCGCUUAGUGAUAAAGUAAAGCAAUUACAAGGCGAUUGCAUUUCAUACAAUAAAGCGACAACCAUAUGGCUCCUGCCAGUUGCCGAUAACUGUGUUACAAAACAUGAUCAUCUCAUACAAUAAAAUUUAGCAUCAUGUCUUGACCAUAUCACAUCACAACAUGCCCUGCAAAAACAAGUUAGACGUCCUCUACUUUGUUGUUGCAAGUUUUACGUGGCUGCUACGGGCUGAGCAAGAACCAUUCUUACCUACGCAUCAAAACCACAACGAUUUUUCGUCAAGUAUGUGAUGUUUUAACCUUCAACAAGGACCGGGCGUAGCCACACACGAUUCAACUAAAGUUGGAGAAACUGACACCCGCCAGCCACCUGUGUUGGAAGCACGUCGGUAGAACCACUCUCGCGUAAGCAUACACGUAAUGUCGGUCUGGACCGCUUCAUCCAACAAUACCGUCGAAUCAAAGUAUGACAUGCUGGUAAGCAGUAUGACUAUUAUCGCCCGCAACUCACUUGUGUUCUACUCGUGCAUAUAACAUCUACGCAUAAACCUGGCUCUGAUACCACUGUUGGGGAACGCAGUAAUUUCAAAAAAAUUCCUACGCACACGCAAGAUCAUGGUGAUGCAUAGCAACGAGAGGGGAGAGUGUAGUCCACGUACCCUCGUAGACCGUAAGCGGAAGCGUUAUGACAACUCGGUUGAUGUAGUCGUACGUCUUCACGAUCCGACCGAUCCUAGUACCGAAAGUACGGCACCUCCGUGAUCUGCACAUGUUCUGCUCGGUGACGUCCCACGAACUCUUGAUCCAGCUGAGUGUCGAGGGAGAGCUUCGUCAGCACGACGGCAUGACGAUGGUGAUGAUGAAGCUACCGGCGCAGGGCUUCGCCUAAGCACUGCCACGAUAUGACCGAGGUGGAUUAUGGUGGAGGGGGGCACCGCUCAUGGCUAAGACAAUGUCUGUUGUUGUGUUCUAGGGUGCCCCCCUGCCCCCGUAUGUAAAGGAGCAAGGGGAGGCCGGCCGGCCCUUGGGGCCCACCAAGGAGGGGGAGGAGUCCUCCUCCUAGUAGGAGUAGGACUCCCCCUUUCCUAGUCCAACUAGGAGGAGGAAGGGGGAAGGAAGGAGAGGGAGAGAGGAAGGGAAAGAGGGGGCGCCGCCCCCCUCCAUGUCCAAUUCGGACUCCUCAAGGGGGGAGGGGGGCGGCCAGCCCUAUGGCCUCCUCCUCUCUCUCUCUCACAAGGCCCGUGUUGGCCCAUUAGUUCCCCCGGCAGUUUCGAUAACCCCCCGGCACUCCGAUAAUUAUCCGGUGACCCCCGGAACUCAUCCGAUGUCCGAAUAUAGUCAUCCAAUAUAUCAAUCUUUAUGUCUCGAGCAUUUUGAGACUCCGAACUACCUUCGGUACAUCAAAACACGUAAACUCAUAAUACCGAUCGUCACCGAAUGUUAAGCGUGCGGACCCUACGGGUUCGAGGACUGAUACGUCUCCAACGUAUCUAUAAUUUUUAUUGUUCCAUGCUAUUAUAUAUUCUGUUUUGGAUGUUUAAUGGGCUUUAUUAUACACUUUUAUAUUAUUUUUGGGAGUAACCUACUAACCCAAGGCCCAGUGCAAAUUGAUGUUUUUUUUGCCUAGUUCAGUGUUUCGCAGAAAAGGAAUAUCAAACGGAAUCCAAACGGAAUGAAACCUUCGGGAACGUGAUUUUUGGAACAAACGUGAUCCAGAGGACUUGGAGUGGACGUCAAGAAACAACCGAGGAGGCCACGAGGCAGGGAGGCGCGCCCCCACCCUCGUGGGCCCCUCGUGGCUCUCCUGACCGACUUUCUUCGCCUAUAUAUACUCAUAUACACUGAAAACAUCCAGGAGCACCACGAAACCCUAUUUCCAUCGCUGCAACCUUCUGUACCCGUGAGAUCCCAUCUUGGGGACUCUUCCGGCGCUCCGCCAGAGGGGGCAUCGAUCACGGAGGGCUUCUACAUCAACACCAUAGCCUCUCCGAUGAUGUGUGAGUAGUUUAACUCAGACCUUCGGGUCCAUAGUUAUUAACUAGAUGGCUUCUUCUCUCUCUUUGGAUCUCAAUACAAAGUUCUCCUCGAUCUUCCUGUAGAUCUAUUCGAUGUAACUCUUUUUGCGGUGUGUUUGUCAAGAUCCGAUGAAUUGUGGGUUUAUGAUCAAGAUUAUCUAUGAACAAUAUUUAAAUCUCCUCUGAAUUCUUUUAUGUAUGAUUGGUUAUCUUUGCAAGUCUCUUCGAAUUAUCAGUUUGGUUUAGCCUACUAGAUUGAUCUUUCUUGCAAUGGGAGAAGUGCUUAGCUUUGGGUUCAAUCUUGUGUUGCUGGAUCCUAGUGACAGAAGGGGGAACGACACGUAUUGUAUUGUUGCCAUCGAGGAUAAAAAGAUGGGGUUUAUAUCAUAUUGCUUGAGUUUAUCCCUCUACAUCAUGUCAUCUUGCCUAAUAUGUUACUCUGUUCUUAUGAACUUAAUACUCUAGAUGCAUGCUGGAUAGCGGUCGAUGUGUGGAGUAAUAGUAGUAGAUGCAGGCAGGAGUCGGCCUACUUGUUGCGGACGUGAUGCCUAUAUACAUGAUCAUGCCUAGAUAUUCUCAUAAUUAUGCACUUUUCUAUCAAUUGCUCGAGAGUAAUUCGUUUACCCACCGUAAUACUUAUGCUAUCUUGAGAGAAGCCACUAGUGAAACCUAUGGCCCCCGGGUCUAUUCUCCAUCAUAUAAGUUUACAUCUAUUUUACUUUGCAUUCUUUACUUUCACUCUUUAUCAUAAAAAUACCAAAAAUAUUAUCUUAUCAUCUCUAUCAGAUCUCACUUUUGCAAGUGGCCAUAAAGGGAUUGACAACCCCUUUAUCGUGUUGGUUGCAAGGUUCUUAUUUGUUUGUGUAGGUACGAGGGACUUGCGUGUGGCCUCCUACUGGAUUGAUACCUUGGUACUCAAAAACUGAGGGAAAUACUUACGCUACUUUGCUGCAUCACCCUUUCCUUUUCAAGGGAAAACCAACGCAUGCUCAAGAGGUAGCAAGGACUAUGUAGACAUGACCGAGACACGUCUCCAGUCAAUAACCAAUAGCGGAACCUGGAUGUUCAUAUUGGCUCCCACAUAUUCUACGAAGAUCUUUAUCGGUCAAACCGCAUAACGAUAUACGUUGUUCCCUUUGUCAUUGGUAUGUUACUUGCCCGAGAUUCGAUCGUCGGUAUCUCAAUACCUAGUUCAAUCUCGUUACCGGCAAGUCUCUUUACUCGUUCCGUAAUGCAUCAUCCCGCAACUAACUCAUUAGUCACAUUGCUUGCAAGGCUUAUAGUGAUAUGCAUUACCGAGAGGGCCCAGAGAUACUUCUCCGACAAUCAGAGUGACAAAUCCUAAUCUUGAUCUAUGCCAACUCAACAAGUACCAUCGGAGACACCUGUAGAGCACCUUUAUAAUCACCCAGUUACGUUGUGACGUUUGGUAGCACACUAAGUGUUCCUCCGGUAUUCGGGAGUUGCAUAAUCUCAUAGUCAUAAGAACAUGUAUAAGUCAUGAAGAAAGCAAUAGCAAUAUACUAAACGAUCAAGUGCUAAGCUAACGGAAUGAGUCAAGUCAAUCACAUCACUCUCUAAUGAUGUGGUCCCGUUAAUCAAAUGACAACUCAUGUCUAUGGCUAGGAAACUUAACCAUCUUUGAUUCAACGAGCUAGUCAAGUAGAGGCAUAGUAGUGACACUCUGUUUGUCUAUGUAUUCACACAUCUACUAAGUUUUCGGUUAAUACAAUUCUAGCAUGAAUAAUAAACAUUUAUCAUGAUAUAAGGAAAUAUAAAUAACAACUUUAUUAUUGCCUCUAGGGCAUAUUUCCUUCAGGCGGUACGUGUUCUGGUCGACCUACGAAGUUCAGUAAUAGCUUGAUUUGAAGUUUCAUGAUCAUUAUCAUUAGCUUCCUCUCUAGUUAGUGAAAACACCACAAGAACAUCUUUCUGUGUUGCGAUAAUUUCUAAUUUGAGAGAAGGUACGAUUACCUCAUGAAGCUCUACUUUCCUCUUACUCACUUUUUUCGAGAGAAACUCGUUGUGUACAAAGGAUACAUUCUUGACAACAAAGAUCUUGCCCUUGGAUCUGCGAUAGAAGGUAUACACAAUGAUCUCUUUAGGGUACCCUAUGAAGACACAUUUAUCGGUUUUGGGUUCGAGCUUAUCAGGUUAAAGCCUCUUGACAUAAGCGCUGGAUCCCCAAACUUUUAGAAACAAUAACUUAGGUUUCUUUCCAAAUCACAAUUCAUACGAUGUCGUCUCAAGGACUUUAGACGAUACCCUAUUUAAAGUGAAUGCGUCUGUCUCUAAUGCAUAAUCCCAAAAUGAUAGUGGCAAAUUGGCAAGAGAGCCAUAGAAUACACUAUAUCUAUAGAGUACGAUUACGCUAGACAUAUCAUUACGCUAUGUUUUUUCAGGUGACGUGAGUUGUGAAAUAAUUCCCUAUUGUCUUAAAUGCAUACCAAACUCGUAACUUAAAUAUUCAACUUGACGACCAGAUCGCAAAUUUUUUAUCUUAUUGUUACGAUGAUUCUCUACUUUACUCUGAAACUCCUUAAACUUUUCAAAUGUUUCAGACUUGUGUUUCAUUAAGUAAAUAUACUGGUUCAAUUUUAAGAUAAUGUGCCGGUUCAAUCUUUUGAAAGUGCUCAUAGGAUAAGGUGUGCGUAUAUGCGUUUAUAGGGAUGAGUAUACAUACAUAAGUAGAGACGCCUGUCCUGUGUUUUAAAAAACCUGUACACGCCUACUCUACACCUUUAUUUGAAUCAAUAAGUUAAUGCCUGGCACAUUUCUUCCACGGACCCAAAUUCGUAGAACCCAGAGAGUAGCCGUGCGUGGGAUGCGUGUACCAAAGGCGGGCCCCACUUCUCAGAGGCCGAGGGCGUCGGAGGCGAAGCGACGAGCCGACGAUGAUUGUGACGGCGGGGCGGGCGGGCGCCUGAGUUGUUCACCACCUACCCUCCCCCGUCUCUCGAAGACUUUCCACCCAACUGAUCACACCAACAGCAACAGCUAGGCACAGCCCACGAACAAACUGCCGUUGAGAAGACGAACCAUUUCUUCCUCCUCGGAGACACGAGGAGAACCUCGGCGACUCCUCUCCCUCCCACCCUUAGUCCCGAACUCCCGAUCGGAGAUUCUCGGCGGAGGCGCUGCAUCUCCCUGGGCGCAGGAUCUCGGGGCCCGGCGGAGAAGGUGGACCGGCAUCACGCCAACUGAUCGAGCAAGAGCCGAGAGGUACGUACGUACGUCUGUUCGUUUCUCCGGGUGGUUUUCCAAUCUCAUCUGCUGCGCCGCCGCCUAUGGUAGCAAUAUGGCGUAGCUGCUUUUAUGAUCGAUCCAAGGGAAGGUACUCCCUGUUCUUUGGUCGACUGAAGCCAAGUUAUCGGCUGGCCGUCUGGGCAGCGCCGAUCAGUCGGCCCGUAGGCGGCGGCGGCGGUGCCGCUUCUCCGGAGAAUCCGCGACGUGUUUGCCGGCCCUACUACAGUACUGCCACGCCGCUAGGUUACCGGACGAGUAGAGCCAGCGCCGCCGCCUGCUACGGACGGGACGCGUACUUUUCGUCUGGCCUCCUCGCCGGCGCCGUGCGUGCUCGAGUGUACGCCACGAACCAACUGCGCCCUGGCACGUGGCGCCCAUAGGUGGCUGGCGUGGCGGCGCGCUGAACUGGCCAGGGAUACUUCCCCCGUUUGUCCUACUUUUUUUUUUGGAACAACCAAAGGCGCCAAUCUAUUGCAAAAUCAUUCAGAGUACAAGCAGUUUACAUUGAGAGUUACAAUUCCCUGAAUUUUCAUACAUGCACAUAAUAACUUCAAAGGACAAUCUUCCUGAAUAUGAUUCUCAUUGCUGCAUGAGACUUGAAAUGUUUGAGUUGCUUUAUGCUGGAUUGCUAGUUGGGCUAAAUCAUGAGCUUCUUUGUUAUGGAUUCUUGAGAUAUGGAACACCUGGACUGAAGUAGGAUCAGUGAUUGCACAAAAUUCUGCAAGUAAACCUCUAAUUUCCCAGUGUCCUGGAUCUGUUCUUGGUGAUCUUGUAGCAGCUAUGUUUGCCAGGGACAAGUUGUCAGUGAAGAUUGUCACCCCCUGAAUUUGUAACUUGAUUAUUAUGUUGGCUGCUAGCACUAAAGCUUGCGCUUCUGCUUGAAAGGCCGUUUGUCCUACUAGUAUGAGCCCAAUUGUUGGCAGGUGUCGCCGUCCGUCCGUCCGGGCGGAAAUAUCUCCGCCUGUUUCUUCUUCAACUCUAAUUGCCUUCUUCUCGGAGCAAAUGGCGCGACCGGAUUUAUUGCUUGCGCUUUGUUUCACCUCGUAUAAUUAUAGCAUUGGAUCCCCAGUUCUACAACAUCCGAUCUGGAGAUUGUACUGUCUGCCUCUCUCUGCUAAGGUUUGACUUGUACAUUAACUAAACGUGGUUAAGGAACUUACCUGAUCUCCCCGGGAUAAAAGGCCCGUACACUUCAAUUCAGAUUCAAACUUUGUAUAGUAUUCCGGAUCUAAAAAAUACGUACUCCUUCCGUCCGCGAAUAAGUGUACAUCUAGCUUUUGUUCUAAGUCAAAGUUUUAAGAUUUUGACCAAAUUUAUAGAAAAUAGUAGUAACAUAUAUGACAACAAAUUGAUAUAUUAUUAAAGUAUAUUUUAAAACAAAUCUAGUGAUACUAAUUUGAUGCCAUAAGUGCUUUUACUUUUUCCUAAAAAGAUGGUCAAAGCAAUAAAACUUUGACUUAAAAAAAAAA